RNAcentral lists this long non-coding RNA (68989 nucleotides) under Cucumis sativus (cucumber). RNAcentral's name for it is "long non-coding RNA (CSAT_LNC002455)". Lineage: Eukaryota; Viridiplantae; Streptophyta; Magnoliopsida; Cucurbitales; Cucurbitaceae. The record is from RNAcentral.
UUAUUUUUUUUUUUAAUGUUUUGUUAGGUUGAAGAGGAGAGGAGAGGAGAGGAGAGGAGAGGAGGGGAGGGGAGGAAUUAAAUAAGGGUAUUUAGAUAUUUCACUUCAAAAUUUUUCCAAAGCUCUACUUUUUCAAAAUCAAUCUUAAACCAUUCCUAAACAGUUUAGAAUCGUCCUAUGUAUGAUUAGCAAGUUUAUUGAGUCAUAAUGUUUUAUCUCGCACCUACCAAAAUUUCAGUAAGACUUUCAAAAUAUGAUCACUACUCUUCCUAAACCGUUUAGAAUAAUCCUAUAUAUGUUUAGCAAGUUUAUUGAGUUGUAAUGUUUUAUCUCAUAUGUAUCUCGCAACUACCAAAGUUUCAAAAUGAGAUUGCUACUUUUCCUAAACCGUUUAGAAUGGUCCUAUACAUGUUUAACAAGUUUAUUAAGCUUUAAUGUUUUAUCUCGCACAUAUCAAAAUUUCAAUAGGAGUUUCAAAAUGAGAUUGCUACCCUUCCAAAACCAUUUAGAAUGAUCCUAUGUAUGUUUAGCAAGUUUAUUGGGUCGUAAUGUUUUAUCUCACACCUACAAAAAUUUCAAUAGAAGUUUCAAAAUGCAUGUUUAACAAGUUUAUUAGACUUUAAUGUUUUAUCUCGCAUCUAUCCAAAUUUCAAUGUAUACAUGUUUAGUAAGUCACUUAUGCAAUUAUAUUUUUUUUGUUCAGGCUUCAAUAUGACUUCGACAUUAACUGACAUACCCAUGUACAAGAUUGAUCAUUCCUAUCAUUUUCAUAGUGUUCUAUUUUCUAUUUUGUUUUUCUUUUUUAUAUAGUUCAAAUACAUUCAUCGUGUAAAUUAAAAAAUAAGUUAUUCCAAAUUUGAAUUUGAUGUUUUAAAAUGUAUAUUAUAUAUAUAUAGUAUAUUGCGUUUUAAACUCAAUUCAAUUUUUUAAAAUUAAAAUGUGUACUCUGUAGUAUAUUUUACAUUAUACAAGCACAUCAUAUUUAGAUUUUAUUGUUGUAACACAAAGUUUAAAGAAAGUUUAAAUUUGAAACUUGGAAGUAACUUGGAAGUGAGAAAAAUAACUUUUGACCGUUCUAAAAUCUUUUUAAAAAAUUAUAGAGGUUAGUCAUUCUUCUGGUAUGACAAUUAUUUUUUAUCAUAAAAAUGAUUAAUUAUUUUUUAUCAUAAAAAAGAUCAAUUGUGUCGGUUUUUUAUAUUAUGAUAGACCAUACAAUGACUGCAAAUAAAUGUCACGAAAUUUAAAUUUGAUAAAUUUUAAAUGACUCUUAAUUGGUUAGUUUCCAAACUCUUCAACCAAUUUUAUAUUUUUCAACAUCCAACCUUAAACCAAAUCUUGAAGUUCAAUCUAAAUCCUUAAAUCAAACUUCUCUAAUCUUUGUUGUCUCUUAAGUUGGUCUUUUUUUUUUAACAUUUCAACAUUCUACCUUAAUCAAAAAAAGUUGAAGUCCAAUCACAUAUUUUAAUCCAAAAUUAUCUUCUCCUUUCUUAUCUCUUUCAAUAUAUCGCACAUGAGUCUUAUAAGUAUCUUUACUCUCUCAUUUCUUGGCUUCACAUCUCUACAAUUUAAUGCAAAAGAAGAGCUCAAUGUCUUCCAUAAAAAACUUGUAGUCCCAUCUCAUACUUUAAAACAAUCUCUAUUCUUGUACUCUCAAAUUUAUCAAUUUAUCAACUCUUCAACCUUAAACCAAUUUAUCUUUUAAGUGAUUAUUAAUUUGUUCGUUUCUAAACUCUUCAACCAAAUUUAUAUUCUUCAACCUUCAACCUUGAACCAAAUCUUGAAGUUGAAUCUCAACCCUUAAAUCAAACUACUCCAUUCUUUGUUGUCUCUUAAUUUGUUCAUUUUUCGAAAUCUUCAUCAUCCUACCUUAAUGAAAAAAAGUUGAAGUUCAAUCACAUAUUUUAAUCCAAAAUUCUUCUCCUUUCUUAUCUUCAUCGUGAAAUAGAUAAUUAUCAACAACUAAUUUGUCAUAUUAUUUUUUCAAUAUAUCGUCCAUAAGUCUUAUGAGUACCUUUACUCUCCCAUUUCUUAGCUUCACGUCCAAUUAUCUACAAUUUCAUGCAAAGAACGGUUUGGUGUCUUCCUUCAAAAACUUGUAGACCCAUAUAUCUCAUACUUUAAAUCAAUCCAUAUUCUUGUACUCUUAAAAUUUUUCAAUUUAUCAACUCUUCAACCAAUUUUGAAUUCUUCAACCUUAAACCAAGUUAUCUUAAGUCACUCUUACUUUGUUCAUUUCCAAAUUCUUCAACCAAAUUUACAUUCUUCAACCUUAAUCCAAAUCCUUCACAAGUCUUAUUACUUGCGCAUUGCAUUGUCUUGACCCUACAUCCAAUAAUCAACUAUUUCAUCAAACAAGGACAUGAUGCCUUCAUUCAAAAAAGUUGUAGUCCAAUGGAGACUUUAAACCCAAAUUCUCCAAUCUUAUGCAUGCAUCUCGUAAUUUUUCCAAUUUAUGAACUCUCAAACCACUUUUGUUGUUCUUUAUAUCCUAAAGAAUGGUUAUGGUCCAUUAAAUCCAAAUGUUGAAGUCGAAUCUCCAACCUUCAACUAAAUUUCAUUAAUCCUUUAACAAUAUUCUCCAACCUUAAACCAAAUUUAUUGUAUCUCUUAAUACGUCACUUUUAUGAACUCUUUCAACUAAAUAAUUGCUUUUUAAUCCAAAGAAUAAUUAGACCUCCCCAAUCAAAAAAGUUUGAACUAAAAUUACAAACUUUAAUCCAAAAUUCUCUUAUCCUCUCUUAUCUUCCUUCAUCAUGGAAUACAAGACUAUCAAUAACAAACAACAACAAAUUUGUGUUUUCCCCUUUUAAUAUAUCAACCAUGAGUCUUCUACAGACCUUUAUUAGUCCAGUUUUCCAGCUUUGCAUCCAAUUAUCUACAUUUCAAUUCAAAGAACGACUUGGUGUCGUCCAUCCAAAAGCUUUAGUCUCAUUUCAUACUUUAAACUAACAAUUUAUAACCUUAUGUAUCUCCUAAGGCGUGCUUGGGAUGCAGACUUGAGGGGGGAGUGGGUUAUUUUACUCCACUCUACGAUUGGGGCAUGAAUUAAGCAAAAAAGGGAUUAUGGUUGUUUUUCUCCUCGUCACACUCUAUUCCACUCUCUUGAUUGGGUGCAUCUCGAGACCAUCAUUAAUUUUGUUUUUCUCGGGGUCAAUUUCAACUCUUUAAAGAAAAUUUCUCAAUCUCUCUCAAGAACAUCUUUGGGAAACCUUAGCCCAAGAUCAUACUACAUAAUAUUUAUGUUCUUUAGCUCGGGACAGCUUUGGCCUGUGAUCAUACUACAUUAUGCUUAUGUUCUUUAGCUCAGGGCUAUCUCGGGCCAAAGCCCCGAGCUAAAGAAGAUAAGGUAAUGUAGUAUGAUUUCGAGCCAAAGUUGGCCCGAGAUAAUCCCGAGCUAAAGAACAUAAGCUAAUGUAGUAUAAUCUCGAUCCAAAGUUGGCCGAGAUAGCCUCAAGAGAGAUCGAGAAACUUUUUUCAAAUAGUUCUAUAAUUUUGGAAAGAAUCUCAAGGUCGAUCUUGACCAAGAUUGACACUGAGAACAACAAAAUUUGUCAGUCGCCUUAAAAUGCACCUGACCGAGAAAACGAAACAGUGUGUGGCAAAGAUUUCCAGAUUUCCACGUAAAAUAACACUAAUCCCCAUUUUGCUUAAUCCAUGCCCCAAACAUGGAGUUAGGCUAAAAUAACCUACUUCAAUCCUCCAUAUCACUUAAUUUUUCGAAUUUAUGAAUUGUUAAACCAACUUUGUACUUUGAAAUCCAAACCAUAUAUAAUUUCUAACCUGUCUAAAAGCUUGUUUCAAAUACUUUUUAUAUAUUUUUUUUGCUUUAUUAUAGGCCGCUUAAAGGCUAAUAACAUCACAUCUUUGUGUGAGAAGCAUUUAUGUCUCGUUUUGAUGUAUUAGGCCCCUUAUAGUAUAAGGGACCAUCAUUUGGAGGGUUUAUUUUUUAUUCUCUUUGUAAUUUUUAAUUUUAUCUAAAUGAAAGCUUGGCUUCCCUCAAAAAGGAUACAAUAUUAAACUAGAGCUCAAUAUUCCACUCCUAGCCACCUACAACUAACUAUAUAAUUUCAUUCCUUGCUCAACAUCUCUCAAGUCUAUUUACUCUUGAAACAAAAACAUGAUUUCAAGAAGCACAUCAAAAAAUCAAAGAUACAGUAUAAAAGCAAACAUUUAUAAGAUAUGAAAAACAUUUACCGAAAAUUUUAUAAAAACUAGGGACGAAGAAGCCUAACCUUAUUUUGAAGAGGAGAGUAUAGCAAACUAUAUUUUACCUCACUCCCACAAUUAUUUUGUAGUCAUCUUCUAGACACCUUUUGAUAUAUUUUUUAAAUUCAAAUUUACUUCCUCAAACAAGGUGAACCUAAAGAUAAGGUGCAUUGUCAUAAAAGGAACAAAUAAGUGGUUUAUAAUCAGCAGAUAGUUGGGAAUUGGAAACUCACCUCGAUGAAUCCAUUUCAUAAUGCCAAGUUGCCAACGGACUUGAAAACUUACAGAAGAAGGAUCCCUAAAACGAAACAGCAUGCUGUAGGUGUUUCAGAUCUCUAUAGGAAAACAAUUGUAAGUAUUAUAAAAGGGAAAUAAGAGUUGUCUAGGCUUAGGAGAAACAAUACUUACAAUGUAAAGGAAGAUCGGAAGUUUUGUCCAAAAACUCGUGUUGGGCUUUCACAGAUGAUGUUUCGUGAGUAAGCCUGAAUCGUGCAUUAUCCGCAAAACAAGUUCAUCUAGUUUAGUUCCAAAGAGGAAAGGUUGAUCCGUCCAUGAGAAAAUAAAUCGUUAAACUUAAAGUAUUGGGGCAAAACAUGCAAAAGUUAGGCUAUUAAAGGAAAAAGCUUUUUCAAAGAAAAGGAUAAUGGCAUACCAUUUGAGAACUCAUAAUUGAGAGUUGAGGUCUCUCCUCCUCCCCAUGCCUUCCAACUUCGAAUCUGUGCACAAAAUUGAAAGUAAUGUAUAAACAUAGACACAAGUAGAUUUAACAACUAACAGAGGCAAUAUUAUCAAAACUUUGUAUUCUCAUUUACGGUAGUUGAUGUUUAAAUUUUUUAUGCACAAUUAAUCACAAUUUCAAAAAUUUUCUUAAACGAAAAGAUUGAGUACCAAUUUCUUAUAAGUUUUCAAAAUAAACUUAUAGUGAAAAAAGAUUAUCAAUUCUCCAUUUUGCUUUUUUUUUUACCUUGUUAAUUCCCAAAAGAAUCCAUAUGCACAACCCCCAACCAUCGCUGCAAAGUCGAGAAAUGGUUUUCUCCCAAUCAUUUCCUUUUCUGAUCUGCAAACAUUCUGAGAGGAAAUAAUUUGGAUGAGUUACUAGAAAUCAUAUAUGAGAUAAUUAACAUACAAUAUUCAUCCAAAACUCAACAAUACUUUUUUUACAUCAAGAUAAAAUAAUUUAAUCCCAUACAAUGAAAUUAAAUCUUAAUAUCCCUAGUCUAUCGAAAUAUAAAGACGAAACAAAUGCACUUGAUUUGACACUCAAGCGAUAGCGUUAGCAGCACUUACAAUUCUGGGCCAAAGAUCAUCACAUUCCUUUCCAAUUGGAACCCCCAUGUAAUAGCAGAACCCUUCAUCUCUCCUUUGGGGUUUACGAUGACACCAGCAUUGUCUUCGAAGUACAUGAAGACACCAUCCUUUCGGUGCCAUGGGUUGCUUUGCUUAGCAAUAACAGCAGGUAGCACCUUCUUCCUAACGUCAAUGCAACUGAUGCAAUCUCGAGAUAGAUAGAAGCAGCACAUGACCCUGUUUAUAAAACGAGUUGGUUUGAGAAUUUGUCCAAAAACGAACAGCCAAAGAAUUUCGUAUCCAUAUAGAGAUCUAAGUGUCUAAAAUUAAAUAUCAUUACCAUGUUUUUUUCAAAAUAUACCUUCUUUUCUUCACAACCGACCCCACAUUUCCUCGCCGGCUCCACUUAGGGUUUCGCUCAAUCACCGGACGCAGACUUGAACUAGGCCAUGGAGAGUUAGGGAUCACGACCCCCGUUUUCUCGCCGGCUUCACUUAGGGAUUCGCUCCGUCACCCCGGACGGGAAUCAGCGACAAGUAAAUACUGGGGCUUGUACUAGGCCGUGUAGAGUUUGGGAUCACGUAUCGUACUGAUAGAUAGACGAAAGGGGCUUUGGCUUGUACAUCGAUGUCGAAGAGGAAGGAAGUGCGGUGGAUAUAGAUGAUGUAAGGCGAGAGUUCGCUACAUUGUCAAAUUUGCCUGAACAUCCGAAAAUAGUGAAAGCUUAAAGUGACUUACAAGGUAACGAUAAUGUUCAUCUGGUUGUGGAGGUUUGUGAGGAAGGUGAGCUUUUCGAUCGGAAUGUAGCCAGAGGACACCCCACCGAACGUCGUCGAGAACCAUCCAGAAGGAACAUUCGCCUUUGACCGUAUUAAAGCUUCUUGUUGCUCAAGUUUUCGGGUUUUUCAAUUUAUAUUUUUCCUAUUUUUUAAUAGUAAACCUAAUUACGUACGGCUGAACAAUUAGUAAAGUGUUCUAUUUUCUAUUUUGUUUUUCUUUUUUAUAUAGUUCAAAUACAUUCAUCGUGUAAAUUAAAAAAUAAGUUAUUCCAAAUUUGAAUUUGAUGUUUUAAAAUGUAUAUUAUAUAUAUAUAGUAUAUUGCGUUUUAAACUCAAUUCAAUUUUUUAAAAUUAAAACGUGUACUCUGUAGUAUAUUUUACAUUAUACAAGCACAUCAUAUUUAGAUUUUAUUGUUGUAACACAAAGUUUAAAUUUUAAACUUGGAAGUAACUUGGAAGUGAGAAAAAUAACUUUUCACCGUUCUAAAAUCUUUUUAAAAAAUUAUAGAGGUUAGCCAUUCUUCUUGUAUGACAAUUAUUUUUUAUCAUAAAAAAGAUCAAUUGUGUCGGUUUUUUAUAUUAUGAUAAACCAUACAAUGACUGCAAAUAAAUGUUCACGAAAUUUAAAUUUGAUAAAUUUUAAAUGACUCUUAAUUUGUUAGUUUCCAAACUCUUCAACCAAUUUUAUAUUUUUCAACAUCCAACCUUAAACCAAAUCUUGAAGUUCAAUCUAAAUCCUUAAAUCAAACUUCUCUAAUCUUUGUUGUCUCUUAAUUUGGUCAUUUUUUUUUAACAUUUAAACAUUCUAUCUUAAUCAAAAAAAAGUUGAAGUCCAAUCACAUAUUUUAAUCCAAAAUUAUCUUCUCCUUUCUUAUCUUCAUCGUAUCAACAACCAUUUUUUCUUUUUUCUCUUUCAAUAUAUCGCACAUGAGUCUUAUAAGUAUCUUUACUCUCUCAUUUCUUAGCUUCAUAUCUCUACAAUUUAAUGCAAAAGAAGAGCUCAAUGUCUUCCAUAAAAAACUUGUAGUCUCAUCUCAUACUUUAAAACAAUAUCUAUUCUUGUACUCUCAAAUUUAUCAAUUUAUCAACUCUUCAACCUUAAACCAAUUUAUCUUUAAGUGAUUAUUAACCAAUUUAUCUUUAAGUGAUUAUUAAUUUGUUCGUUUCUAAACUCUUCAACCAAAUUUAUAUUCUUCAACCUCCAACCUUAAACCAAAUUUCUAAACAAUAUCUAUUCUUAGCUUCUUGUUGCACAUGCAUAACCUUAAACCUUGAAGUUCAAUCUCAAUCCUUAAAUCAAACUACUCCGGUCUUUGUUGUCUCUUAAUUUGUUCAUUUUUCGAAAUCUUCAACAUCCUACCUUAAUGAAAAAAAGUUGAAGUCCAAUCACAUACUUUAAUCCAAAAUUCUUCUCAUUUCUUAUCUUCAUCAUGAAAUAGAUAAUUAUCAACAACUAAUUUGUCAUUUUAUUUUUUCAAUAUAUCGUCCAUAAGUCUUAUAAGUACCUUUACUCUCUCAUUUCUUAGCUUCACGUCCAAUUAUCUACAAUUUCAUGCAAAAGAACGGUUUGGUGUCUUCCUUCAAAAACUUGUAGACCCAUAUAUCUCAUACUUUAAAUCAAUCCAUAUUCUUGUACUCUUAAAAAUUUUCAAUUUUUCAACUCUUCAACCAAUUUUGAAUUCUUCAACCUUAAACCAAGUUAUCUUAAGUCACUCUUAAUUUGUUCAUUUCCAAAUUCUUCAACCAAAUUUACAUUCUUCAACCUUAAUCCAAAUCCUCCCCAAGUCUUAUUAUUUGCGCAUUGCAUUGUCUUGACCCUACAUCCAAUAAUCAACUAUUUCAUCAAACAAGGACAUGAUGCCUUCAUUCAAAAAAGUUGUAGUCCAAUGGAGACUUUAAACCUAAAUUCUCCAAUCUUAUGCAUGCAUCUCGUAAUUUUUCCAAUUUAUGAACUCUCAAACCACUUUUGUUGUUCUUUAUAUCCUAAAGAAUGGUUAUGGUCCAUUAAAUCCAAAUGUUGAAGUCGAAUCUCCAACCUUCAACUAAAUUUCAUUAAUCCUUUAACAAUAUUCUCCAACCUUAAACCAAAUUUAUUGUAUCUUUAUAUCUCUUAAUACGUCACUUUUAUGAACUCUUUCAACUAAAUAAUUGCUUUUUAAUCUAAAGAAUAAUUAGACCUCCCCAAUCAAAAAAGUUUGAACUAAAAUUACAAACUUUAAUCCAAAAUUCUCUUAUCCUCUCUUAUCUUCCUUCAUCAUGGAAUACAAGACUAUCAACAACAAAUUUGUGUUUUCCCCUUUUUAAUAUAUCAACCAUGAGUCUUCUACAGACCUUUAUUAGUCCAGUUUUCCAGCUUUGCAUCCAAUUAUCUACAUUUCAAUUCAAAGAACGACUUGGUGUCGUCCAUCCAAAAGCUUUAGUCUCAUUUCAUACUUUAAACUAACAAUUUAUAACCUUAUGUAUCUCCUAAGGCGUGUUUGGGGUGCAGACUUGAGGGGGGAGUGGGUUAUUUUACUCCACUCUACGAUUGGGGCAUGAAUUAAGCAAAAAAGGGAUUAUGGAUGUUUUUCUCCUCGUCAUACUCUAUUCCACUCUCUCGAUUGGGUGCAUCUCGAGACCACCAUUAAUUUUGUUUUUCUCGGGGUCAAUUUCGACCGAGAUCGACUACAAGAGUUCUUCCCAAAUUUAAAUAACUCUUUAAAGAAAAUUUCUCAAUCUCUCUCAAGAACAUCUUUGGGCAACCUUAGCCCAAAGAUCAUACUACAUAAUAUUUAUGUUCUUUAGCUCGGGACAGCUUUGGCCUGUGAUCAUACUACAUUAUGCUUAUGUUCUUUAGCUCAGGGCUAUCUCGGGCCAAAGCCCCGAGCUAAAGAAGAUAAGGUAACGUAGUAUGAUUUCGAGCCAAAGUUGGCGCGAGAUAAUCCCGAGCUAAAGAACAUAAGCUAAUGUAGUAUAAUCUCGAGCCAAAGUUGGCCGAGAUAGCCUCAAGAGAGAUCGAGAAACUUUUUUCAAAUAGUUCUAUAAUUUUGGAAAGAAUCUCAAGGUCGAUCUUGACCAAGAUUGACACUGAGAACAACAAAAUUUGUCAGUCGCCUUAAAAUGCACCUGACCGAGAAAACGAAACAGUGUGUGGCAGAGAUUUCCACGUAAAAUAACACUAAUCCCCAUUUUGCUUAAUCCAUGCCCCAAAAUGGAGUUAGGCUAAAAUAACCUACUUCAAUCCUCCAUAUCACUUAAUUUUUCGAAUUUAUGAAUUGUUAAACCAACUUUGUACUUUGAAAUCCAAACCAUAUAUAAUUUCUAACCUGUCUAAAAGCUUGUUUCAAAUACUUUUUAUAUAUUUUUUUGCUUUAUUAUAGGCCGCUUAAAGGCUAAUAACAUCACAUCUUUGUGUGAGAAGCAUUUAUGUCUCGUUUUGAUGUAUUAGGCCCCUUAUAGUAUAAGGGACCAUCAUUUGGAGGGUUUAUUUUUUAUUCUCUUUGUAAUUUUUAAUUUUAUCUAAAUGAAAGCUUGGCUUCCCUAAAAAAGGAUACAAUAUUAAACUAGAGCUCAAUACUCCACUCCUAGCCACCUACAACUAACUAUAUAAUUUCAUUCCUUGCUCAACAUCUCUCAAGUCUAUUUACUCUUGAAACAAAAACAUGAUUUCAAGAAGCACAUCAAAAAAUCAAAGAUACAGUUAUAAAAGCAAACAUUUAUAAGAUAUGAAAAACAUUUACUGAAAAUUUUAUAAAAACUAGGGACGAAGAAGCCUAACCUUAUAUUGAAGAGGAGAGUAUAAUAAACUAUAUUUUACCUCACUACCACAAUUAUUUUGUAGUCAUCUUCUAGACACCUUUUGAUAUAUUUUUUAAAUUCAAAUUUACUUCCUCAAACAAGGUGAACCUAAAGAUAAAGUGCAUUGUCAUAAAAGGAACAAAUAAGUGGUUUAUAAUCAGCAGAUAGUUGGGAAUUGGAAACUCACCUCGAUGAAUCCAUUUCAUAAUGCCAAGUUGCCAACGGACUUGAAAACUUACAGAAGAAGGAUCCCUAAAACGAAACAGCAUGCUGUAGGUGUUUCAGAUCUCUAUAGGAAAACAAUUGUAAGUAUUAUAAAAGGGAAAUAAGAGUUGUCUAGGCUUAGGAGAAACAAUACUUACAAUGUAAAGGAAGACCGGAAGUUUUGUGCAAAAACUCGUGUUGGGCUUUCACAGAUGAUGUUUCGUGAGUAAGCCUGAAUCGUGCAUUAUCCGCAAAACAAGUUCAUCUAGUUUAGUUCCAAAGAGGAAAGGUUGAUCCGUCCAUGAGAAAAUAAAUCGUUAAACUUAAAGUAUUGGGGCAAAACAUGCAAAAGUUAGGCUAUUAAAGGAAAAAGCUUUUUCAAAGGAAAGGAUAAUGGCAUACCAUUUGAGAACUCAUAAUUGAGAGUUGAGGUCUCUCCUCCUCCCCAUGCCUUCCAACCGCGAAUCUGUGCACAAAAUUGAAAGUAAUGUAUAAACAUAGACACAAGUAGAUUUAACAACUAACAGAGGCAAUAUUAUCAAAACUUUGUAUUCUCAUUUACGGUAGUUGAUAUUUAAAUUUUUUAUGCACAAUUUCAAAAAUUUUCUUAAACGGAAAGAUUGAGUACCAAUUUCUUAUCAAAAUAAACUUAUAGUGAAAAAGAUUAUCAUUUCUCCUUUUUGCUUUUUUUUUUUACCUUGUUAAUUCCCAAAAGAAUCCAUAUGCACAACCCCCAACCAUCGCUGCAAAGUCGAGAAAUGGUUUUCUCUCAAUCAUUUCCUUUUCUGAUCUGCAAACAUUCUGAGAGGAAAUAAUUUGGAUGGGUUACUAGAAAUCAUAUAUGAGAUAAUUAACAUACAAUAUUCAUCCAAAACUCAACCAUACUUUUUUUACAACAAGAUAAAAUAAUUUAAUCCCAGACAAUGAAAUUAAAUCUUAAUAUCCCUAGUCUAUCGAAAGAUAAAGACGAAACAAAUGCACUUGAUUUGACACUCAAGCGAUAGCGUUAGUAGCACUUACAAUUCUGGGCCAAAGAUCAGCACCUUCCUUUCCAAUUGGAACCCCCCUGUAAUAGCAGAACCCUUCAUCUCUCCUUUGGGGUUUACGAUGACACCAGCAUUGUCUUCGAAGUACAUGAAGACACCAUCCUUUCGGUGCCAUGGGUUGCUCUGCCUAGCAAUAACAGCAGGUAGCACCUUCUUCCUGGCGUCAAUGCAACUGAUGCAAUCUCGAGAUAGAUACAAGCGACACAUGACCCUGUUUAUAAAACGAGUUGGUUUCAGAAUUUGUCCAAAAACGAACAGCCAAAGAAUUUCGUAUCCAAAUAGAGAUCUAAGUGUCUAAAAUUAAAUAUCAUUACCAUGUUACCGACCUCGCAUUUUCUCGCUGGCUCCACUUAGGGUUUCGCUCAAUCACCGGACGGGAAUCAGCGACAAGCAAAUAUUGGGGCUUGUACUAGACGAUGGAGAGUUUGGGAUCAAGUGUUGUACUGAUAGAGAGAUGAAAGGGGCUUUGGCUUGUACAUCGAUAUCGAAGAGGAAGGAACUGCGGUGGAUAUAGAUUAUGUAAGGCGAGAGUUUGCUAGAUUGUCGCAAAUUUGCCUGAACAUCGGAAUAUAGUGAAAGCUUAAAGUGACUUACAAGGUAACGAUGAUGUUCAUCUGGUUAUGGAGGUUUGUGAGGAAGGUGAGCUUUUCGAUCGGAAUGUAGCCAGAGGACACUCCACCGAACGUCGCCGAGAACCAUCCAGAAGGAGCAUUCGUGUCUCAAAGAGAUUUGAUGAGAUAUGAUCGUUGGAGUAUAUAAAAGCUUCUUGUUGCUCAAGUUUUGAGAUUUUUCAAUUUAUAUUUUUCCUAUUUUUUAAUAGUCAAACCCAAUUACGUACGGCUCAACGGUUAUUAAAGUGUUCUCUUUUCUCUUUUGUUUUUCUUUUUUAUAUAGUUCAAAUACAUUAAUGGUGUAAAUUAAAAACUAAGUUAUUCCAAAUUUGAAUUUAUAUAUAUUGUAUAUUGCGUUUCAAACUCAAUUCAUUUUUUUAAAAUAAAAACAUGUAUUAUGCAGUAUAUUUUACAUUAUACAAUGUUAACUAUAUCAUCACAUCAUAUUUAGAUUUUAUUAACUUUAAACUUGGAAGUAACUGUCAAAAAUAACUUUUCAUCAUCUUAAAAUCUUUUUCAAAAUAUAGAGGUUAGCCACUCUUCUUUUUUUACAAUUAUUUUUCAUCACAAGAAAGAUCAAUCGUGUCGGUUUUUUACAUCAUGACAGACCAUACAAUGACGGCAAAUAAAUGUCACGAAAUUUAAAUUUGAUAAAUUUUAAAUGACUCUUAAUUUAUUCGUUUCCAAACUCUUCAACCAAAUUUAUAUUCUUCAACCUCCAACCUUGAACCAAAUCUUGAAGUUGAAUCUCAACCCUUAAAUCAAACUACUUCAUUUUUUGUUGUCUCUUAAUUUGUUCAUUUUUCGAAAUCUUCAACAUCCUACCUUAAUGAAAAAAAGUUGAAGUCCAAUCACAUAUUUUAAUCCAAAAUUCUUCUCCUUUCUUAUCUUCAUCGUGAAAUAGAUAAUUAUCAACAACUAAUUUGUCAUUUUAUUUUUUCAACAUAUCGUCCAUAAGUCUUAUAAGUACCUUUACUCUCUCAUUUCUUAGCUUCACAUCCAAUGAUCUACAAUUUAAUGCAAAGAACGACUUGGUGUCUUCCUUCAAAACCUUGUAGACUUAUAUAUUUAUACUUUAAAUCAGUCUUUAUUCUUGCAUUCUAAAAUUUUUCCAAUUUAUCAACUCUUCAACCAAUUUUGUACUCUUGAACCUUAAACCAACCAAGUUAUCUUAAGUCCCUCUUAAUUUGUUCAUUUCCAAACUCUUCAACCAAACUUACAUUCUUCAACCUUAAUCCAAAUCCUCCACCCGUCUUAUUAUUUGCGCGUUGUCUUGACCCUACAUCCAAUAAUCAACUAUUUCAUCAAGCAAGGACAUGAUGCCUUCAUUCAAAAAAGUUGUAGUCCAAUGGAGACUUUAAACCCAAAUUCUCCAAUCUUAUGCAUGCAUCUCGUAAUUUUUCCAAUUUUUGAACUCUCAAACCACUUUUUGUUAUUUAUAUCCUAAAGAAUGGUUAUGGUCCAUUAAAUCCAAAUGUUGAAAUCGAAUCUCCAACCUUCAACUAAAUUUCAUUAAUCCUUUAACAAUAUUCUCCAACCUUAAACCAAAUUUAUUGUAUCCUUUAUAUCUCUUAAUACGUCACUUGUAUGAACUCUUUCAACUAAAUAAUUGCUUUUUAAUCCAAAGAAUAAUUAGACUUCACCAAUCAAAAAAGUUUGAACUAAGAUUACAAACUUUAAUCCAAAAUUCUCUUAUCCUCUCUAAUCUUCCUUCAUCAUGGAAUACAAGACUAUCAACAACAAAUUUGUGUUUUCCCCUUUUAAUAUAUCGACCAUGAGUCUUCUACAGACCUUUAUUAGUCCAAUUUUCCAGCUUUGCAUCCAAUUAUCUACAUUUCAAUUCAAAGAACGACUUGGUGUCGUCCAUCAAAAAGUUUUAGUCUCAUCUCAUACUUUAAACUAACAAUUUAUAACCUUAUGUAUCUCCUAAGGCGUGUUUGGGGUGCAGACUUGAGGGGAGGGGAGUGGGUUAUUUUACUUCACUCUACGAUUGGGGCAUGAAUUAAGCAAAAAAGGGAUUAGGGUUGUUUUUCUCCUUGUCACACUCUAUUCCACUUUCUCGAUCGGGUGCAUCUCGAGACCACCAUUAAUUUUGUUUUUCUCGAAGUCAAUUUCGACCAAGAUCGACUACAAGAGUUCUUCCCAAAUUUAAAUAACUCUUUAAAGAAAAUUUCUCAAUCUCUCUCAAGAACAUCUUUGGGCAACCUUAGCCCAAGAUCAUACUACAUAAUACUUAUGUUCUUUAGCUCGGGACAGCUUUGGCCUGUGAUCAUACUACAUUAUGCUUAUGUUCUUUAGCUCAGGGCUAUCUCGGGCCAAAGCCCCGAGCUAAAGAAGAUAAGGUAAUGUAGUAUGAUUUCGAGCCAAAGUUGGCCCGAGAUAAUCCCGAGCUAAAGAACAUAAGCUAAUGUAGUAUAAUCUCGAGCCAAAGUUGGCCGAGAUAGCCUCAAGAGAGAUCGAGAAACUUUUUUCAAAUAGUUCUAUAAUUUUGGAAAGAAUCUCAAGGUCGAUCUUGACCAAGAUUGACACUCAGAACAACAAAAUUUGUCAGUCGCCUUAAAAUGCACCUGACCUAGAAAACGAAACAGUGUGUGGCAGAGAUUUCCACGUAAAAUAACACUAAUCCCCAUUUUGCUUAAUCCAUGCCCCAAAAUGGAGUUAGGCUAAAAUAACCUACUUCAAUCCUCCAUAUCACUUAAUUUUUCAAAUUUAUGAAUUGUUCAACCAACUUUGUACUUUGAAAUCCAAACCAUAUAUAAUUUCUAACGUGUCUAAAAGCUUGUUUCAAAUACUUUUUAUAUUUUUUUUGCUUUAUUAUAGGCCGCUUAAAGGCUAAUAACAUCACAUCUUUGUGUGAGAAGCAUUUAUGUCUCGUUUUGAUGUAUUAGGCCCCUUAUAGUAUAAGGGACCAUCAUUUGGAGGGUUUAUUUUUUAUUCUCUUUGUAAUUUUUAAUUUUAUCUAAAUGAAAGCUUGGCUUCCCUAAAAAUGGAUGACAAUAUUAAACUAGAGCUCAAUACUCCACUCCUAACCACCUACAACUAACUAUAUAAUUUCAUUCCUUGCUCAACAUCUCUCAAGUCUAUUUACUCUUGAAACAAAAACAUGAUUUCAAGAAGCACAUCAAAAAAUCAAAGAUACAGUAUAAAAGCAAACAUUUAUAAGAUAUGAAAAACAUUUACCGAAAAUUUUAUAAAAACUAGGGACGAAGAAGCCUAACCUUAUUUUGAAGAGGAGAGUAUAGCAAACUAUAUUUUACCUCACAACCACAAUUAUUUUGUAGUCAUCUUCCAGAGACCUUUUGAUAUAUUUUUUAAAUUCAAAUUUACUUCCUCAAACAAGGUGAACCUAAAGAUAAAGUGCAUUGUCAUAAAAUGAACAAAUAAGUGGUUUAUAAUCAGCAGAUAGUUGGGAAUUGGAAACUCACCUCAAUGAAUCCAUUUCAUAAUGCCAAGUUGCCAACGGACUUGAAAAAUUGCCGGAAGAAGGAUCCCUAAAACGAAACAGCAUACUUUAGGUGUUUCAGAUCUCUAUAGGAAAAUAAUUGUAAGUAUUAUAAAAAGGAAAUAAGAGUUGUCUAGGCUUAGGAGAAACAAUACUUACAAUGUAAAAGAAGACCGGCAAAAACUCGUGUGGGCUUUCACAAAUGAUGUUUCAUGAGUAAGCUUGAAUCAUGCAUUAUCCGCAAAACAAGUUCAUCUAGUAAUAGCAGAACCCUUCAUCUCUCCUUUGGGUGGUUUACGAUGACACCAGCAUUGUCUUCGAAGUACAUGAAGACACCAUCCUUUUGGUGCCAUGGGUUGCUCUGCCUAGCAAUAACAGCAGGUAGCACCUUCUUCCUGACGUCAAUGCAACUGAUGCAAUCUCGAGAUAGAUACAAGCGACACAUGACCCUGUUUAUAAAACGAGUUGGUUUCAGAAUUUGUCCAAAAACGAACAGCCAAAGAAUUUCGUAUCCAAAUAGAGAUCUAAGUGUCUAAAAAUAAAUAUCAUUACCAUGUUACCAACCUCGCAUUUUCUCGCCGGCUCCACUUAGGGUUUCGCUCAAUCACCGGAUGGGAAUCAGCGACAAGCAAACAUUGGGGCUUGUACUAGACGAUGGAGAGUUUGGGAUCAAGUGUUGUACUGAUAGAGAGACGAAAGGGGCUUUGGCUUGUACAUCGAUAUCGAAGAGGAAGGAACUGCGGUGGAUAUAGAUUAUAUAAGGCGAGAGUUUGCUAGAUUGUCGCAAAUUUGCCUGGACAUCGGAAUAUAGUGAAAGCUUAUAGUGACUUACAAGGUAACGAUGAUGUUCAUCUGGUUAUGGAGGUUUGUGAGGAAGGUGAGCUUUUCGAUCGGAAUGUAGCCAGAGGACACUCCACUGAACGUCGCCGAGAACCAUCCAGAAGGAGCAUUCGUGUCUCAAAGAGAUUUGAUGAGAUAUGAUCGUUGGAGUAUAUAAAAGCUUCUUGUUGCUCAAGUUUUGAGAUUUUUCAAUUUAUAUUUUUCCUAUUUUUUAAUAACCCAAUUACGUACGGCUCAACGGUUAUCUUUUCUCUUUUGUUUUUCUUUUUUAUAUAGUUCAAAUACAUUAAUUGUGUAAAUUAAAAACUAAGUUAUUCCAAAUUUGAAUUUAUAUAUAUUGUAUAUUGCGUUUCAAACUCAAUUCAUUUUUUUAAAAUAAAAACAUGUAUUAUGCAGUAUAUUUUACAUUAUACAAUAUUAACUAUAUCAUCACAUCAUAUUUAGAUUUUAUUGUUGUAACACAAAGUUUAAACUUUAAACUUGAAAGUAACUUGAAAAAUAACUUUUCAUCCUUUUAAAAUCUUUUUCAAAAUGACAGACAUUAGCAACUCUUCUUUUAUCACGAGAAUAUCAAUUGUGUCGAAUUUUUACAUCAUGAUAGACCAUAUAAUGACUGCAAAUAAGUGUCACAAAAUUCAAAUUUGAUAAAUUUUAAAUAUCAUAAAAACCCAUUUUAGUGAUUGCACAUAAAUUUAAAAAUUUUGAAGGUUAAAUCUGUAAUUUAACUUGGACUAAUUAAAUUUUGAAAUUCUCAACGUUUUGACCCCUGCCAAGGAUUCCAAAUAUAAUCACGGCUGUAUAUUCAUUAAAUAAGUCACAAGAACUGUCAAAAUGAAAAGAUUGCUUAGUCAAAUAAGACUGAGCCUUUUAAAGAUGCAAAGAAACAAGAUUCCAUAACUUUGCUCGACAAGAACAGCUCCUUCACACAUACUAUCGAAAAGCAGAUAAGAAAACCAGCCAAUAUAAAUGUGACGUUACAAUUAAUCAACUUAAUUACUUGUGGUUGUCUACACAUAAUUUACAAAGGUACAUGGACUUACAACAAAGAACUCAAGUCAAUUCAAGUUCAAUAAAACCACCAAUUAUCAUCUUAAAAAUCGACCGUUACAUCUUCAGCUUCACAAUUGUUGAAUGUCAAAAAAGACAAAUAUCCUUUUUUAGCUUUCUUCUUUUAACUGAGUGAUAACAGCAUACUUAUUUUUGUAUUGAACAAAAGUAAGCAAUAAACAGUUGUUCUCGUUCCUAUAGGUUGUGGCUCUGAGCAAAAUGGCGAUUCACCACUCCUGUUCCUCCGUGCACAAGCUGCAUGACAGGUUCGUUUUUGUGUUUGGAUCAUACCAACGGUGUAAAUACCAGUAAGAAAAAGACACUAAAUGAAGAUCUCAACCUCCAUCUUUGCUAUAAUAAAAGGCAUCAUUCUACCUUACUAUCACAAAGCUUACAACGGUAGAAGAACUUUCUAUCUUUACCUUUUCUUGAAUCGCUUUUUUCUCAGAUGUCGGAACAGAAGGAAAAUAACACAAGAUCGCAGUGUGUUGAACAAACAGUCUAAUCCUAAAUCGAUUGCCUUGAUUCCUUUCUUUCAUCUCUAAACUUCUUGUAGAUGUCAUCCUUGUAGAAUUUCCAAGUUCGGAGCACCAAAAUGAAUGAAACAAAACAACCGAACAUGGUUGCAGCAGAGAUAAUGAGAAAAGCUAAUCUGUAACAAUGGACGCCCUUGCAGGCUAAGUCUCUACCAGCUACAUUUCUAAGACCGAAAUCCAUUUGCUUUCUAGCCUCUUGGUCGUAUAAAUAGCCAGCUACUUUCACAUUGAAAAUGUAUGAACCAACUGGGCUAGCAAUUCCACUAAUGCUAUAUAAAGUUGCAUAGUAUUUCAAGCCAAAUAAUUCAGAAACAAUGGCGAAAAUCAGUGGCCAUUGUGCUCCAAAGCAAAAUCCAAUUAUCACAGAAGCAAAAUAAACGGAGGUUGGGAGUCCAGAGGCAAUUAGAAGAUGGCCAAAGCAAGAGAGAAGAAGGACAAGAGUGAGGAACAAAGGGCGAGAGAAGUUAUACUUCGUCCAUAAGAAUUCAGAAGCAUAACCCGAAAAUGCUCGACCGAGAAAGCCCCAUAUACUCACUAGAGAAGUGAAAGUAGAAAUGGUAUGAGUUGAGUAGCCAAGGGAGCUGCCUAUCUGACCCAGGUUGUCCAUUGCAGUCAAAGUCCCACCAGCCCCACAAAUUGUGACAAAAAACAGAAUUAACAUAUCUACACUGAAGAUUGCUUGUAAAAUGGUGUAGUCCUCUCCUCUUUCCGGCGGUCUGAACACAUUUUCGAAGCAAGAACUUGGGUUGGCUAAAGCUGUAUCAGUCGUUGGAAAACUUGAAGUUCUAGGCAAUGGUAAUUCAUCUGGAGAUUCGUCUGAUGGAACCGGAAGCCAAGAAGUAACAUCCACACCUUGCAAUUUCCUUUUCCUAAUGCCGAAUUCUUCUCUUAUAAUAACAACAAGGGGAAGAAAAAGAAACGUUAGAAGAACAAACACACAACCCAAAUACUGAAUUCUAGUAAACAUGAGCUCAUUUUGGAUAAUAAUCAAAAUCAUGAGGAAGCCAGCAAGACCAAGGGAAAUGUAGAGCAUAGAAUAGAAAUUUUUUAGAUCAUUGGAUUUGAAUGUGGGGUUCGCUUCCACUACUCUAACAAUCCGAAGAAGCAGUAAAGAAACAGCAGUAGGCAGCCAAGCAAUAAGCAAUAUAAAAUCCUUCGAAUCAUCCCCAUAAAAAGCAUGAUAAAUCUGAGUCAAAAUUGCCCCACUUAAUCCAACAAACCCUUUCAAUAAACCCAAUACAUAACCUCGAUUCUGAGGGAAAUUCUUCACAGAAGGUAUCAAAGCCCCUGUAUUGGCAAAUGUCUGAGAAUUUGCACCUAGGAAUGUAAACAAACACAUUGCAGGCAAUUUGGGUUUGGGGAUACGGUGGGUGACAGACAGCCAAAUCAUGAAAUAGCCAAAGAAAUUCAUUACCCCACCGAUGAAGAGAACAACCCAAGGCGGAGUAAUUUCAUUAAUGAGACCGGAAAAGACUCCGACGUUGGAACCCAGAUCCUUAAAGAAGCCGACGAGGUUGAGUGUGGUCUGAUCGUAAUUCAAGGAGGAUUUGAUGUCGGAGGAGUAAAGUGCGAACAUGUAGGUGGCGCCGGAAACGGACAUGAUGAGUAAAGAAGCGAAGACGGUGAACCAUCGGCCCAAUAGAACUUGGACGGCGAAAUUCGACAUCUGCGAUCGUCUUCUUUGCCCAGUCCUGAUGCUGAAUGUUGGGAAUUGAAUUAAAGAUUUUAAAAUGGUGGCCAUGGAGGAUUGAUGGAGAUAGUCUGAAUUUUAGUGAAGUUCCACUUGGACUGAAGUGGAAAUUGUGUUCACAUGGUUGAGGUGGGAAAGCGAACGGAGGAGAAAACAAACUUAAGAAACGCUAUCCUUAUUUGGCGGAUUGACUUUAAAUCUAAAUCGUCAUCACUAAUUUAACUAAAUUGUUUAUGUUUAUUUAAAAUUAUGAAUUUGGUCAAAUUUUACUUUUACCAUUACUUCAGAUCAACGUUAAAAAACUUUGUAUGCAUGUGUUUGUUUAUAUUUCUUUAGCUCUCAUCUCUUAAUUAUUUUGUUUUUGCUAGUAUAAAAGUUGAAUCCUUACUCAAAGUUUCGAAAACAUAAACUACAUUUUUUAGUUUUUGAAAUUUGACUUGAUUUUUUUAAAAACAUAGAUAAAAAGUGGAUAAGAAAACAAGAAAUUUAACGGUGAGGGUGGUUGUUUGUAGGCUUAAUUUUCAAAAAACAAACCGGUUACUAAACGAGACAUAAGUUUUCUACUGUUUUAUUUUUUUAUAAAUUAAGCCUAAAAACACUCCAUUUAACUUUAAUUUUUUUAUUUUGUUAUCUACAUUUUAUCAAUGGUCUUAGAAUAACCGAUCCAAAAUUUUUAAAACUAAAAACGUAGUUAAAAAAAUUAUUUGUUUAUUUAGAUUUAGCUAAAAAAAAUAAUCCUUUGUAUUUAAAAAAAAUCACAAUAAAGAAAUCGAGAAGAAGUAAGUUUAAUUUUCAAAAUCAAAAAUAAAAAUCACCUCUAGUAACUAUUUUAUUCAUUGUUUUUGGAUUUGAAAACUAUAACCCAUUCAAUUCUUCUUUUACCAAAACUUAAUAAUUAAGCCUACAAUUGUAUUUGAUGUAUAAGAAGGAGAGAGGAGAGUUCAUAGAUAACAUUGAUUAGUCUAUUUGUUCACCGAUCUUGCACAAAUCUAUUUAGUUAUGUUUUGUGAGUGUUCAAAUUUUCAAUCUUAACUUACCAUAAACAAAAGAUUUAUUUUUUCUAGUUAGAAAAAAUCAUUCACCUAAACUAUGACUAUAACAAAAGUUUAAAAGGAAAAGUAAAUUCGUAAAAGUAUUUUAAAUUUACCGUAGAGGUAGGAGAAAGAGAAUGUCUAAUAAAUUUUUUCUUUUUUCAAAUCAAAUUGACAUAAUAACUAAAUAAAUAUUCAAUAUGUAUAGUUUUAUAAAUUAGAAUCAUAAAUUUUUCUCAAUAACAAUUUAGGAGAGUUUUAUAGAACUAGAGAAGAUUAAUUUUAGUUAUAAACUCCAUAGAUACUCUUUUCGAACUUUUCCCUAAAUGUCAUCGUAGGACUAAAUUUGUAUUUGUAUUACAACCAAAUUUGUGAUUUAAAGUAAUAAAAAUGGAAGAAUCUUGAGUUUCGAAAACAUAUAUUAUGAGAAUUUUUUAUUUGAAAAUAAUUUCUAUUUCAUUGUAUAGAUUUUGCAAAAAUUAAAGAAAAAACAAGAUCAUUAAGUCCUUGUUGAGAAAUUUUGUCGUUGAUCGAUGAAAAAGAUGAAUAACAAUGCAAAAUUAGAAAGCAAAUCAUAGUCGUCGUAAGUAAUUAUUCAAGCGGAAGAACUAAACUGCAACGUACAAUCCGUCCUAUUUGAUGUUUCUGUUGUUCUAAUAUAAUCUGAGGAUCAUUGACGAAAUUACCAGACGAUUGAUCUUCAUUUAAUUCCAUUUUCGGUUCCUUUUCCCGUUUCUGGAAGCUCGACUCUAACAUCAUCGUCAUGUUCUUCAAUCUUUAAUUCCAUCAGUUUACUUGAAUUCUCCGAUACAAUUUCCCCUAGAUCACCGGAGGAUUUAUCAACGAUUGUCGGAACUGCUUCUUCUUCUUCUUCUUCUUGAUCUUCUUCCUCUUCUUCUUCUUCUCCUCCGUCAGAUGAAAUUCCCGCUGCUCGCUGCAGUUUCUCGAAAAGAAACUCAUCUUCUUUCACAAGAAACCUAUCUUCUUCUUCAUUUUCAAAAACUAAUCGGACAACAUAGUAAAAGUCUCCAGGAAAAUAUAAAUUACAAAUGCGAUAACCGACAGGUUCUAGAUUAUCGUCACUCUGUUCAUCCUCGAAAAUUUCUUCAUCGUAAUCGUAGGAAUGAUCACUUUCUAAUUCUUCUUCUUCUUGCUGCGAAUCUUCAUCAGACAAUUCAAGCACUGGACCAAAAACUAAUUUGACAAGAUAAUCAUUGUCAUCUUGCGAAAAGUAUAUGUCGAAAACACAUUCGCCGUGUUCGUUCUCUUGGCCGCCGAAGAUUUCUCCAUUGUCUUCAAAGGAACAGGAAAGAUAUUGAAUCUUGAAAGCGGCGUGAUCGGAAGGCUGAUUUCCAGCCAGGAUAUAUCCAUAAAGCAGACACAUUGGCGGUGAUUUAGGAAUUUCUCUUAGACUUGUGUUGGCAGCAGGAAGAAAGUGAUCGCCGUCGUAAACAUUGGCCGGAUGUAGGGCAUUGGAGGGAUCCAUGGGAAUUUCUCUUCGUCUUGUGUUGGCAGCAGGAAGAAAGUGAUCGCCGUCGUCAACAUUGGAGGGAUCCAUGGGAAUUAUAUAAUGUGGAGUGAGGCAACGUAGAACUGGAAACUAAAAUGAUUAUGGCAUCUGAGGCAAUGGGGAUACAUAUAUUUAUAGCCGGAGUUUAUCCAUAAUUAUUGCCUCUUAAUAAUAUAAAUCUUCUUUUCAAACCAUAUAACUGUUUAAGCAUAAAAACUAAAUUUUAAUGUUUUGUAAAGGAAAAAAAGAAAAGAAGAAGAAGAAGAAGAAGAAGAAAACUUUUUAUUUUUUUAAUGUUCAUUGUAGGCCAAAUUUAUAAUUUCAAAUAUAAAUUCUAACUAUUUUGUAAUAAAAUGUUUAAAUUGGAGUUUUGAAAAAUUUUGGGAGAAUAAGUUUUUUUAUUGCAAAAGUGUGCCACGUACGAGUCAGACUUUUUUAAUAUUUUCAUUUUGACUAUGAGUUUGGAGUACAUGUUGGAGAUGUUAAGAGUACCUUCCAUUCCAUAUAAUAUAGAUAAAUUACUCUGGAAACUCAGACUCUAUAUAACAUAGAUUGACUACUUCUUGCAUCGUAAAUUGGUUUUGAGAUAAAAUCUUAUACUAUAAUCCAUUAAACAUAAACGAUUAUUCGGUCCAAGAUAGGUGAACCCAAAAAGACAACAUCUCGAGGGGCCUGUUGAAGAUGUUAAGAGUCUCAUAUUGGAAAAAAUAAGGAAACUCACACUUUGUAUGAUAUAGAUGACUACUUCUCUUAUUGUUAAUUGAUUUUGAGAUUAAACUUUCAUACUAUCAAACAGUAUAUCAUAACCUUGAUAUAUGAUAUAGAUGAUAUUUGUUUUGGUUUAGUUAGACUCUGAUGUCUAUUUAAUAAUCAAAGUAGACCAUACUUUUUAACGAUAGAAAUUGAAUUUUAAUUUUCACAUAUAUUUGUAAUUUGUAAUUUUUUAGAGGUUAAAUUAGACAAAAUGAAACUGACCUUUGUAGUUUGUAUAAAAAAUAUUUUUAAAAGUUAAAAAAAUGUCUUUUACCCAUAGUUUUGAAUGAAAAUCGUUAACGUUUUGUUUAAAAAAUACUUAUGAACUAUCGAAAAGUUUAAAUACUCUUAAACUUAAAAAAGUAAAAAAGAGAAGAAAAAAAACUCUCAUUGAUCAAAAUUUUACCUCAACAAAAAAUUUACUUGACUAUUAACACAAAAUAAAUUGUAAACACAAUUAAUUUUAAUAGUUAAUUGUCAACUAAAAAUCUAUUUAACUAUUAACACACCGUAAUAGUUCGAUAGAUAUAUUAGUGUGAGAUUUUUUUUUAUUCGACUAACUAUUGCUUUAGUAUGUUUUAAGGGAAAAAAUUAUUUUAAAUUUUUGUGGAAUUUUAUGAAAUAUGUUGUUUAAUAUAUGGAAGUUUUAAUUUUACAAAAAAAUUUAUUUCGAUGGAUAUUUUUGAAAAUUUUAUAAAAAAAAGUUAAGAAAAUAUAUUUAAAUUAGCACAUGAAUAUUUUAUUAUUUUAAAAUAAGUAAACAUGUCUAUUAUUUAUAUUAGUAUCAUUUUGAUUUUAAUUUUUAGUGAUUUGUAGAUUUUUGUAUGAUGUAAUAAAUUUUGUUUAUUGAAUAAAAGUACUGACAUAUCAAUAUAAAUUUAUUAUAUAGUUUUAACUUUAAAAAAAAUCAUUUUUUAAUUUUAAAUGCUACAAAAUUUGUUGUAAAAACUGUAUUAAUGGAAAUAUUUUUAAACUUUAUUUAAGUUUAAGAAUAAUUACAAGCUUUUCAACGCGUUUGUUCAAAACUAAAAGUAAUGAUUUUUUUACAGUUAUUUUUGAAACUUUUGAAAAUUUAGAAAUAAUUUUAACGCUUUGUGUUGAGUAUUUCUCUUUUAUAAUUUAGGCUUUUUAAAAUAUCAAAAUUAAGUAAUGAGAUAUUUUAAGAGCGAUGGACUGUUUCUUAGACAUAUAAAUGUCUAUACAUAAUCUAUACAAUAAUAGUUAUUAAUCCAUAGAAAGAUUACAAAGUCAUAUUCCGGCCGUGAGUUCGUUUUGAGCUUCACAUAGCAUCGAUCAAAGGACUUUCAAUCCGUUUGAUCAGCAGCAAAAGAUCAUUCAAUCUCCAUUCCUCUGCGAGAGAAAGACGAAGAAGAAGGAAUCAAUUCCAAUAUGUCUCGUAGCAUUUCAUACAUAACUGGCACUCAGCUUCUCUCCUUCAAACGCCGGCCAAAUGUUGCCAUCAUCGACGUUAGGUAUAACCUUAGACCAAAAUUCCUCUUCCGAUUGACUUAGUUUGUGUUCCUUCAUAUAUGUAAAAUCUUGUUCUGUGAUCUUACAGGGACGACGAGAGGAGUUAUGAUGGCCAUAUUGCUGGAUCUCUGCACUUCGCUAGUGACAGUUUCUCUGAUAAGAUCUCUAAGCUUGUCCAAGAAGUGAAAGGGAAAGAUACGCUUGUUUUCCACUGCGCUCUUAGCCAGGUUUUCGCUGAACGAAAUUAAUGCUUUUACAUAGUCAAUUUUCUUUGAAUUACCUUCAAUUUUGUGAUUUUGACUUGUUCUAUUAGGGUUUUUGUUUUAAUCAUCUCAAAUUUCAUUUCUCGUCAAUUUCUUUGGUUGUUUAAAGGUUGAGCAGUAUGGAAUUCACAUUUGGAUUUAUCGGAUUUAUAAGUACUUCAGUUAUCUUUCUCUCUGUAAUGUCAUAUUGAUUUAGAGUUUUGUGAGUUUAGAUACGUGACCUGCCUUUUACUUAUGCGGUUGCUGAUGUACUGCAUCUGUUAAUCUUUGGAGCAGAAUUUGGGCUCAAACAUGUAUGAGCGCUGUCAUUUAUUCAAAUUUUCUAGCAUGCUUUGUAUGUCUAAUAGAAUUGUCAUUACUCAUGAUCAGACAAGUUAUUUUUGUGAUUUAUAAGUUAUUAAUUUCUAAUAGAAUAAUUGUCAUUGUUCAUGGGUGAAUGGUAAAAGAAAGGUAUAGAGGAGAUCCUUGGGAAUGGUUAAAUAAUUUGAGGAAAUAGAGAAACAUAGAAGUUCGUGGCUAAGAGUCUUGCUCUUCCUGAGUAUCUGGUAAAGAUGGGAGAAUUCAGACCCUCGUUAGAGCUGUUAAUCAGUUUAACCCAAUAGAAGAUAGAAUAAAAUGUCUUGGCACUUGAACUUGUCCUGCCAGUGUAGAAAAUUUGAAGUACUACCAUGGAUACUCCUUCCAUUUAUUUCUUGCGAUGUUAGUAUCUUUAUAAAAAUGAUGAGAGAUCCCACCAACGUUAAAUCCAAAGCAUCCCUCCGUUGCUUUAACUUUUAUUCAAUGCCCGGGAAUAUAGGCAUUUGGUCAAUGCCAGUGCUUUAACUGCAUUCAUCCAAAGAGUUUUAGCUUUCCUUUAAAUCUAUAUUUCUCUUCUCUCCUCUAUUGUUUCUCCCCUCUUUUUGGUGUGUGUGUAUGUCUCUCACUCUCCCUCUUCUUUUAACUUUCGUUUUUUCUAUUAUCACUGUCCUAGUUCUUUUUGUAACCACACUUCUUUUGUAUAAAAUCUAAUUGAGGUAAUUGGCUGAUUCCUAUUGAAAGAACCCUGAUAUAUCGAGAUCAUACUUCAUGCAGUUAUGUAUUCUUCCUAUACUUCUCUAAUGAUCACCAACAGAUAGUAUUACCAGUAUGUAGCUGCUUAUUUUGAAAAUGAAAUUUCGAGAGUGGGAUUAGAAUAGCUGUUAUAGCAUACAUCUAAGUUUAUAAUUUUUAUAUUCUCAUUCUUGAAAAUCUUGGUUUAUGGUCGUGUGAUCAUUCGUUGGACAAAAAACAUAUUGUGGCCUGGGUGCUAUAUUUAGACUAGUACAGAGGUGCAAGCUAAGCUCUGGCCAAGUUCUCUCUUGAAAAUUAUUCGACACUGUCAAAGUUCAAGUAAUCAUAUUAUUUUAGAACUUGAAAGACAACUCUCCAAUAUCAUAGGGUAUUCCUAUUCCCGCAUUAUUCAUGGUUCUUGGAUCCUAUCCCACCUCUCCCAUGAUAUUUGACCUUGUUUUCAGUUUUACAUAAAUUGUUUGGCUAAGGGCAAAAUCUGUACUUUUGUUACGGGCAUUUUCAAGAAACAAUUUGAAGGAAUACUCCGUCUUUCGAUUGCAUUUCCCAAUCUGGAUUUAGAGCCUUGAUUACUGUUCAUGCUUUUACUAACAUUUCAUUCAUUUAUAUAGUAUCUUGUCAAGUCCAUGAAGAGCUCCACAUUGUCCUUGAAAAUAUGGAACCUUUAGUUUUCCCUUCUCUAACUCCACCUUAGUUCUUCUUGUACUCUCUCUCUCAUUUAUUAUUACCUCUGCAUUUUCUGGCCAUUUGUUGCCAUGCUAAUUAUAAAACCACUAAUUCUCCCAAAAACUUAAGCUAGUAGUUGAAGACAAAUUUAAUUAUAUAUCACUAACACUAAUUCUGACAAUUGUUCUUGAAUGAAGUUUAUCGGUAGAAAAUAUUGACUAAUACUUUAUGUUUCCAUACGAACAUUAACUUUCAUGUAUAUUUAAUGGAGAUGAGGAGAAUUAUAGGAUAAUUAGUAUAUUUAAACUUUUGUUUAGUUUUUUAUUUAGAUUAAUCAGUGUUUAAUUAGUAGUCUUAUUUUCUUGUAAGGCUGUAAAUAGGCCUGUUUAGUAUAGUAAUGGAAAGCUUUUGAAUCUCCUUUUGAGUAUAAAACUUCGUAUUCAUUUAUUCAGAAACUUUGUAUUCAUUUAGAGAGUGUUUUUAAGGGAUGAAGUUUCUUGGUUUGGCCAUGAAUUCGGCCUAUUAUUUUUUCCGGAGGCAUCUUUAUCAUUUUUGCAAGAUACUAAGGAAAAAGCUUAUUAUCUCAUUUCUCUGAGACCCCUUCUGUUUAUUCUCAGCUUUUACUUUGAGAGACUACGUUUUGUCACAAAUCUUAUUAUAUCCAAAUGGUUUUUUUCUUCUUCUUGUAGGUUCGUGGCCCAAGUUGCGCAAGGAAGCUUGCCAACUAUCUCGAGGGGAUUAAGGAGGAUGGUGGAAUAAAAAACAUUUGUGUUCUUGAACGUGGCUUCAAUGGCUGGGAAGCAUCUGGCCAACCCGUUUGUCGCUGCAACAACGUGCCUUGCAAGGAGGGGAUAUAGGAUUCAGAAAAUUCGUCAAAGAUCACCAUGGUUUUGAACAAGAUCAAGGAGGGGAUAUGGUAUGAUAUUGUUAAAAGAAUGUGAUUUCAUAAAUAUGUGGAAUGCUAAAGUUGCAUUGUAUAUGUUCCCAGGAUCCUUUUGCUACCAUGGUGUUAGGAUACUUCCUAACAAGAAUCAAUAUAUGAAUUCACGAAGAACUACAAUAUUAUUCAAGUCUAUGGUACUUGGUACUCCUCUCUUGACAAUAAUACUCAAGACCUAACUACUCAACCACUCCCCCUUCUUCACUCCACCCACCUCGUAUUUUCAACCACUCCUCCUAGUAACUGGCCUAAUUAUCUAAUUACUCUUAUACGGCUAAUCUUAUACUAAUAUUUGUAUCUAACACAUAGGUUGCAUUUAUAAUUGGUCAAGUUGGUGCAUGAUAUCAUUUUACAACUAGGCCAUCAUGAUGUUCAUGUCUUCUACUUCUUUAAAUUGUUUUAAAAAAUAAACUUUAUACACAUAUUUACAUUGAAUUUUGUUUAUUAUAGGAAAAAAAAGUUUGCGCAACAAAAUUUGCCACCAAAAUCUAAGUAGACUCCAAACUGGUAGUUUGAGCAGUCAGUUAGCAUAGUUCGGUUUUGAUUUUCACAUUUACUUCAUCGAUUUAUUGGUUUGCUUCCAAUUUUUAUAAAAAUGAACCAUUCACACCCUACCCAAACACAGAAAGCUUGGGGAGAAGACAAUGGUAUUAUUCAAACCUUCUAACCUCACAUUUGUUAUAUUUACCCUUCAUUUCCAGUAGAUAUUUUUAUCAUGAUAUUUAAGAAUUCAAAACUUUUCCUUGCUAGUUAGUGGAAGUGGCUUUAUGACCAUAGGUAAUUUCAACUCGGCAUUUUUUUGUUUUGCUUUGUUUUUUUGUAUUUUCCAUUUUCAACUUUAAAGCAGCCAAAUGGUCGAGAAAUGAUACAAACUCUAUAAAAUAAGGACCCGUUGGCUUUCAAUUCCAAUUGACUAAACAUAAUACGUCAAUUAUUUUCCAAUACAACAAUUGAUGGUUACAAAGAAAGAAACCACCAGCUAAGAGUUAAAUGAAUGCCUUGUAAUGAUAAGUUAGCAACUAGAAAUAAUGCUAGAGAAAGACCCUCUAAAACAAAUCUUAUGCCUAGAAAUCAGUCAUAUUAUCUCACAAUUUGAGCAAUCCUUGGUGAACAUGAAGAAGGCCCUCCUUGGGUCAGCCUUGUAUUAUAAGACUUGCAUUUGAGGCACUUGUGCGCCACAAUGUGAUAAUUAACCUCUGAUAUCUCACUGCAGUCAUUGCAAAGAAUCCAAACCUGAUCAUAAUACAAGAAGGAAAAUUUUCAGUUCAUAAAAAAAAUCAGCAGUUUCUUUUGAGAAACCACACUUUGUUUUACGUUUACACCCAGUACUUUACCAUUUUAUGUUGGUACAUUUGUGGCAUCGGCGUUGAUGCAACCUGAGAUUUUAAGUGAAUAUAUGUUAGGAUCAUGUGAAUGUUGUCACUUGUUAUUACUUUGAUUAGUUUAUAAGGGUUCGAACCUCGUGAUCGAGUUUCUCCCAUACGCUCGACAUAUCGCAAUAGGAUUUUGAGCAAACAGGGCAGGUGUAUCUGCAGAUACAAAGCAAUGGUUUUGGUAAUUCAUUUAAAUGAUCGUAAAGAACAAAAAGGAUUUUAUGUAGCAAAAAGAAGAGAUGAACUAACUGUAAACGUUGCUCCAUCUCCUUCACACAUUCUAAAUGAAUAGUGUGUCCACAUGGCAAAACGGAAAUGUCGCUCAUUGUAUCGAAAAGAAACUGCAGGAACGGAUGGUUGAUUAUGUUAUUGACAUAGAACAUUUCAUAUUGAUAAAUGACAUGUAUAAACAUCACAAAAUAAUUUCUUGUUUUGAAAUUUCACCUCAAAGCAAACAGGACAGUUGUGGUGCAUUGCCUUUUCCACACAAUUGUGGGAGUUCUCCAUCAGUUUUGAAUAGCAACAACCUAAAAAGAUGAAGAAACUUCCGAAUUGAGUGGCUGGAAAAGUAGAGAGCUCUAAGAAGUUGAAUCAUAAAAACUGUUCCGAAGUUCUUACCACACUUUUUGCAGUGGAAAAAGUUGUCCUCACCUCCAACUCUGCAAAGCGAGAAAGAAAGAAAUCUUUAAACUGCAUCUAAUAAAUUGUGAAAGCUACGGAGAAAGGAAGAUAAAUGCAUAAAUAUACAAAGAUGUUCAAGGAAAUGGUUUGGACCUGCAAAUACCACAUUCAUUACAAUGGUACUGCUUCUUUGAAACCUAGCAAAACAGUUUCAAGUCACCAAAAAAUUUAAGAUCAGGAAACUAAUAAUAUAGAUCGAAGUUAAUUAGAUGAUGUUGAUAGAAGCCUACAUCAUCAUCAAAGAACUUGCACUUUGCGCAAAAGUACUUUCCCAUACAAACUCCACAUUGAAUACAAUAUUGUCGCACCUAAAAGAAGUAAGAAAAGAUAGUUAGUUGUCUUCCCCAUAUUUUUAGGUGACGGAGGCUUUGAAGGAAAGAACUUACAUCUUGUUCUGUGCCACACAAGGAACAGAUGACCUGUAGAGAGAUACAAAACAAGAACUCAUGAAUUAUAAUUUAUAUUUAUAGAAAAUUUAAAGGUCUUUCUAAAUACUCUCUCUAUUUCUUUGUUAUGCAAUCUCCUCCUAAACGUUUUUAAGAUCCUAGCAAAAUUGAACUUGAAACUGAUCUGAAUCAAAAAACCAAGGAUAAAACACGAAUUCAGAAGCUAAGUGGAACAUGAAGCUUAAUUGAUACUUGAAAGGAAACUUACUUUUUCCAUAUCCUGGCGAGGAAUGUCGUGGCGUAAGAGAGGAUCCACAUCUAAUGAAUUCUGCAUAAAGAGCAUCAAUGGGAAGCUUCAUGAAUCCAAUUUCUCAAUAUAUAUAUAUAUAUGAAAAUAACAAUCAAUCAGAAGCCAACCUUAGCUUCAUUGUGACAAUGUCUGCAAUCAAAUAUUUCAUUGCAACAAGGAGCUCUAAUCUUACACCUCCUUCUAUAAUGAGAACACCUUCGAAUUAUAAACCAAAUAAAUAAGAAAUCUCCCACGCAAAACCUCUACGAAAAAAACACUAAUAGUCAUUUCGAAAUCAAUUUAGACACUGUUUAAGAAUGGUGAACUACCCGAAGCUGCCAUAUCCGAGAUCGAUCGAUGACAUGUCGCCAUUUGGGGAAAUCCAAGCCUCCAUUUCGCACUCCAUCAUCAUCAGAAAAAAUCUCCUGAAAAUCAAAAGCACAAGCUAGCAUGAGCGAAAAAUUAAAGAAUUCAACCAAAAAAUGAGGUGAAAAGUGGUUGAAAAAUAGGAGAAGAAAAGGGACGGACCCCUGUAACAACAACAAAAGGAACAAAGUUUCCAACAGCGGAAAAUUUCAAAUGGUAAUAUAAUUAAAAUUCCUUAAGGUAUCAUUAUUCAAUUCCGUUUUAGAGGUACUGAUUAAACUAUCCGCUUCGGAGAGGGAUCUCGCCGGAGGAGAAGGAGAAGGAAGAGCAGAUUUUCAGUUCAUAGAAAAUAUCAGAGAAGUGGGUGUGAAAUUCCAAAAGUACCCUUCAAAAGUUCUGGCCGCCGCCGUGUUUUUAUUGUACGUAAAUCAAUGACGAGGCGACACGCCAACGUGAUUCCCUUUUACUCUUUUAUUCGAAAAAUUAACGAAACGGCGUCGUUUGAAGUGUCACGUUUUGUUUUCUUUAUAAUAUUUGUAAUAUGAAUUGUCAUAAUGUUUUUCUAUUCAUUUGAUACUUUCGAAACCUUCGGAGAAGAAUAAUUUAAAUUAAGAUGAUUUGAAUUAAUUUUCAUGUUGUUAUUAUUUCAGUGCCUUAAUAUAAUUCUCAAAUUUUUAUGAGAUUAAUUAAUCGACUAGUCUCUAACUUUUUAUUAUGAUAUUUAUAAGUCUAUUGCACUCUUUAUACUUUCUAAGUUUCUAUUAUUCUUAAAAAAAUUAUUUUAUAAUAAUCGUAUUUUAGAAUGCGAUUGAAAUAAAUUUUAAUUUUGUAAUAAUUGUAUUUAAAAUGUGAUUGAAAUGAUAGGGGUGAAUAUUACAUUCUUCCUAUUCUCCUAUCCAUAAAUAAUUUUUUUUCCCUUGAAAAACAGUGGUCUUCUUCACAACUCCAUAUACACCCCCAGGUUUUUUCCAUACUAAAAUAAACAAACAAUAGAACACAUAUAAUUAUAGAGACAAAAGUUGUGUAUUUAAACCAAAAUCCUCAAUAAUCCUUCAAAAGGGAGAAAAAAAAAGUAAAUUACAAAUUUAGCCCCAAAUACAAAUUUAGUUUAACGAAUGAAGAGAAGAAUAGAAUUGAAUAGAAAGUUGGAUAUAUUGGUCAUUUACCACCUUGGGUCACGCUCACUUACCAGAAAUGAGAGAAUAUUCUUAAAAGGGCAGCGUUUCAAUGGAGGAAGCUCCGAUCAGGAAAUGAAAAGAGAAAAAGAUAAAAGAAGUAAUGUAGUAAUGGUAAGUAAGAAUAUAAUGGAUUUGAAUAUAUAUAGAGCGAUGAAUGUGGAUAAGUGGAUAAGUACAGAACAACAGGAUUUGGAUUUCCGGAGACAUCCAGAUUGAAUCGGGUUCGAUAUAUUCUAUUGCGGUAGGUGCGUUUUUCAAUUUUAAUGGCUUUUGAUUAAGAUGUUUCUUUUAAAAGUUUAAAGUGAAUGUAUGAUCGAUAUUCAUUUUUGUCUUUUUAAGUUGCCAGUAAGCUGUCAUAUAAGAUUGGUGGGUUGAAAUAUUAUCGAUGUAACAAAAUAGCACGAUUUAUUAUAUGUGAUAGAGAUAUUUAAUAUUAGUUUUGUGUCAAAAGAAAUGAUCCUAGAAACGUUGGACAUGUGACCAAAUUUUCAUUCACAUUUUCUGUUCAUGGGGUUUAGGGUUUUGUAGAAUGAGAAUGAGCUAUUGUGAGUAUAGUGCAUGUUUAUUUGUUCACUUAGUUUCAAUAUUAUAGCAUUUUUGUUGAAUUUUACUUUGGUAUUUAAAGUUUUUUUUGUAUCGGUAGUUGAGUUAAACUUAGUUAGAAAUGGAAAAUUUUAAAAUAUUUUCUUUAUAUAAAAAACCCAGUGAAAGCUAAUCAAUUAUAGUUUUUUAAUUCUUAAAAUGAUCAUUUUGUUCUAUAUAUGUAUCUUGAUGCUGUUUUAAUUAGAGUACUUUGGUAUCUUUUAAUGUCCAAUUUGAAUAUAUAAACUUUUAUUAUAUCUUAGGUUAAAAGUAUUUUAAUUUUUUUAAAACCUUUAAGUUCUUAUUUUUAGUAAAUCUUAUAUUUAAUCGUUUGAUAAUCAUAAUCAUUUGAUUUUCAUGUAAAGAAAUACAAAUAUGUGAAAAUAUUUUAAAAACAGGUACACAGUGAAAAUGCUAAUAAUAAAAAAAAAAGUAAUGAAUAAAAUUAAAUUUAGUGGGUAGGAAUUCAAUUUAAAGCUUAGAAAUUAAAAUUAGACAUUUGAAAGUAUAAGUACUAAAAUCGAACAAAUUCUGGAUAUAUGAACUAAAAUGAUAUUUUAAUCUAAAUCUUAAAUUUAGUCACUCGAAAGUUAAAUAUUAUCAGAUUCACGCAAGAAAAUAUGAUAUGUUAUUUGGAAGUAUUUAGAUUAAAAUUUAACAAAUUUCAAAGUAUAACAAUAAAAAAGGUUAUAUCAAAUUAAAUUGAAACAAAAUUCAAAACUAUGAAUCUAAAUUUUCUUAUUCACAAUUCCAAUUCUUUUAUUCGACGAGUGCAAGACCAAAGGAAGAUAUCGUGCUAAUUUUGAGAAGUACAAUCAACAUCAACAAUUUGUAUUGUGAUCGUGUUAAAGUUACUUUCAAAGCUACAGUAUCCAUGUUACAACAUCUUCAUUAUGAAUAUGUUAUAAAAUGUAGAUUAAAUUUAAAACUUGGAGUAAUUCAACCAACUCAAAAUUACCUAAAUGAUAAUUAAAAAAAAAAAGAAAACAAUUGGGUUUUUUCUUUAAAAGUUAUUUUGGGCUAAAAUUAAUUGUGUUUGAAAAGGUGUGUGUAGUGAUGUUUAGAAUAUUUUUCAACCUAAGUUUGGUACAUCAACAAACGUGUUGCUUUUUUCUCUUAUCAUCUUGGUAUGUGUUUGUGGAGACCAACUUUUAAAAUAAUAAAAGUGAUCAAUAUUCUUUUCCUUUUUCUUUUCUAAAUAACCCCUAUAUAUAUAUAUAUAUAUUCAAUAGAUAUUUGUUUUUCUUUUUAAAUUCAUGACGAUUGAUGACGUGAUUUUUCGUCGGAUAUAACUUAACUAAUAUCUAUACAUGUUAAUCUCAAAUAUAUUAUUUUAAACUAUAAAAUUAUUAGACUUUAUUAGAUAACAUCAAUAUUUAAAAAAAUUGUUAGUCAUAUAAACUAUUCUAUUAUUAAUAGAUUGCUAUAACAAUUAGAUUUAAGUUUUAAGUUUGGUUCUAUUUAUAAAUUAUUUUCAAUUAUAAUAUAGUGCUAUAAACCUUUAGAAAAGAAUAUUUCUAAUCACAGUGAAAAAAAGAAAAACCUAGAAUGAAAAGGCACAUGAAAAGGAACCCAAGAAACUUUUGAUAGCAUGUGCAUGGUCCAAAUUAUGCAACAUCAUACCAACUUUAGUUUUGUUGAAUUGGUUCUUUCCUCUAACGUUAUUUAUCCUUUUGUUAUAUAUUUUUUUUAUUUUUUUACUUUCGGUUUUUUUAGGUUAAAAUUAAUAUUUAUUUGUUCUAUGACGUUUUAAAACGAACCAUUUAAUCUUCCAAUGGUUCUAAAUAGUUUUACUUGUCAACGUGCAUCGAUCAAUGAAGAAUGCUAACGGACACACAUUUUAUUUCCAUCUUAUGUGUCUACUUCGUUCAGAUCUUGUUUCUUUGUUCUUCUAGAUGAAGGGAGAGUUACUUCUUCUCGAUAGAUCUGAACAGUUUGAAUUUCAGGACUAGAAAAAAGAAUAAAAGGAAGAGGAGAAGGAGAAGUAGAAGAAAAAAAAAGUUAUGACUUCGAUUUAGAUUUGUACAAACACAUGUACCAGAAGUUUGUAUUAUAUAUAGAGUUUUUUCUCCUGUACUCAUUCCUUGUUGAACAACACAACCAGUAGAAAUUACCCCAUUCCUUUAAACAUAUAGUAACACACACACACAUAUAUCUUUGUUCUCUUAUGAUCAGUUGAAUUAUUGUUCUUUUAACCAUCAAUAUUUCAUGUUUCUGAACAAGUUGAAGAAAACCCCCCAAUAUCUUAAACUGCCUCUUAAUUCAUCAGAAAAAUCAAAGCUAAAGAAAUAGAAUGAAGGAGCUGAGAGAGAAUGGAAGAGAGGCAUGGGAGGCUUGAUGGCGUUCUUCAUAUCUGAACGAAGAAGGAGAGAAUGGAAACUAAAAUGAUGGUUACCACUAGUCAACUAACACUUAGUAGCUUUAAGGACCACUUAGAACUAUUAAUUCUCGAAUAUUUAGUUAUCAAAGUGUUCAUUUUAAAAGUUCAAAUAUCAAAUAAACAUCAACUUUAAACUUCCAUCAAAAGUGAAUUUUGUCAUUUUUUUUUUCAUAUAGUUAAAAUCUAAGAAUGGAUCGCACAUGCUUCAACUUCGUAAAAGUUAAAUAAAAUUAUUCUGUAUUUUUACAAGUCUAUGUCCAGCCAAUAUAUAGAAUAUUGUAUAAUUUUUUAUUUUUUUUGGAUAAGAGGGUGAUACGAUAUCAAUUUAAUCAAAACAUAGUAUAAAAUGUAUAACAUAAAUCUACUUUUUGAGAUAUAUAAAUACUAAAAUUUUAAUAUAUUAAGAUGAUUAUUUUUAUAUAAAAAAAAUUGUGAAUGCAACGUUAUUAACCUCUUCAAAAUCAUAAUAACAAUAGUGAUUUUGAUGUGCAAAAUAAACAUUAAUUGCUUUUUAUUCAUCAUUAAAUUAAAGAUUUAUGAAGAAAAAAAACAAAAGAAAAAAUCAACACACACAGCCAACAAAAAAUGGAUUCUUUUUUCUUUUACUUUUACUUCUUUUUUCUAAUAGUAAAAAUAUAUAUUGUAAGAUUUUUGGAUAGGUAUAGAUACCUAUAAUGUAAUUGGAAAAUUCCAACCACAAAAAAGUGACUGCAAAAAUAGAAAUAAGUGUUAUCCAAAGUUAAAGAAGAAGAAAAAAAAGUAGAAAAAGAGAAAGAUAUUCUGCUUUUUGUAAGGAAGAGGAGUUAUUCAUCUUAAUCUCAUCAAUCAACAAAUAUUUCAUUAAUUAAUAAAUCAAAACUCUCAAUCUAACUACUCUAACGUACUCUAGUGUUGUUGAAUGGAUAAGAAAAAAAGAUUUGCACAAGUGAAAUAAGCACUAUUAGAAAAUGGGUUUUAACGCAAGAGUUUCAACGACACAAUUUUCUUGUCGAAGAUAGGCUAUUUAACGACACUUUAAACUGUCUAGUAAAUUGUGAAAUUAUGGGUUUAAAGUGUAAUGAAUUGAUAAGAUGUAUACAAUUUAUAUUUUCUUAUAGUGGGACACAUAAGUCAAACAAAUAUUAGGUUUACAAGUUCUUGAAUCGAAUCCACGUACUUUUAAUUGUCAAUUUAAACAAGGAAUAAAAUCGAAAAAGAAGAUAACUAUUAAAGAAAAGAGAGUGAAAAGGUGGGAAGAAUUGGUCCAAUUCUUUCCCUUUAUCUAUAUCUAUCCUAAUGAGUUGCAUGCUCACAUGUGUUGAUGCCUUUUUACCUUUACAUGAUUUUCAAAAGGGAUGGAAGAAAAAUCUUGUCCAAAAAAUAUCAUUCUUAUCUAUUUUAACUUUAAAAUAAAAAUUACAUCAUUUUAUAUUGAAAUUUAAUUCAAAUGAUAAUUUUAAAAUUAUUUAUACAUUUUUAAAACAACAUCAUUUUAAAAUAAUUGCUUUUAACUUUACUCAAUCUAAACAAAGGGUUAACCUAAUAAGUAAAAAAGAAAAAGAAAUGACUUAUAAAGAGUCAAAAGAAAAUAUGUGUAUUUUUCGUGAUGUUGGAACAUAAUUCCUCUCAUCGUUAAAAAGUUUGAUAUAAAGGAAGGAGUCAUUCAACAAAUAUAUGCUUUAUAUAGUGUGAAAUAGAAAAUCGAUGAUGUUUAUAAUAGGUAUCUGAAUACUCCACUCUAAUUUUUUUAGACCUAUCAUUAUAGAAUGCGAAAUAAAAAAUUAACUUUAGUCAUAAAAUCAACGUUAUGAUAGAAAGGGUGUCUAUUCAUUGAAAAGUAGCUACAAACGCUUUUAAUGUGGAUUCUACAAUGAAAAAAAAUAUAUAUACCUAAAUUAGAGUUUUAAACUAUAUCACACGUAAAUUUUUAUAUAAAUAUAAAAGUUAAAAUAGAUAAUUUACCAGAACUUUGGAAGUGCAAAAACACCACAGGUAAAAUUACAAAGCUACGUUUGAAAAUUCUCAACAAAAAAUUUUAAAUAAUAAUUAUUUUAAAGUCAAGAAUCGUCUAACUAAGAGAUAACGACUAUCCUCAUUAUUCACAUUGCCUCCUCAUAAGCAUGUAGAGCUCAUUCAAAAUAAAGAACCUCCUCGUAAGCAUGUAGAGCUCAUUCAAAAUAAAGAAUCUUGGUUUGAAAACCAAAAGAUAUCUAGACUUAUCUAUAUAUAUAUAAAAAGAUAAAGUAUAUAUAUUGCAACAAAUUAGAAUAUUCUAAUUUGAUAGUAUUUUUUGGAAUAAAAUCCAUAGGUGAAGGAGAAGAAAUUUGCCAGAAUGCUCCACAUUUUUGUUCUUUUGACAAUUUUUAAAAUGGAAGUCAGAAAUUUGUUGGUAUCAUCAAUACCAAUUUCCUAUAUAAAAGAGUUUAGAUCCAAUUUCAUCUUUUGAUAUUUGGGCUUCACCCUUUUCCCUCUUGGACUAUCAUGACUCUAUUUGUAAAUUACAUUUCUGUCUUUGACCCAUCUAAACCAAUACCAUUCUAUAAGGGCUUUAGGACCCAUUUUCUACCUGCUUUUUUUUACUUCCAAAAAUAAUAAAAUCAUAUGUCUCUACCUUUUUUUAAUUAUCUUAUGAUAAUCAUAUGAUAUUACUAAUUAUUUGAUAUAUUCGCAAUAUGCAAAAGAGCGUUAUGGACUGUUUUAUUUUUCUAAAUGUUUUUGUCAUUUUUUCUCUUUAUUAAUUAUUUUCAAACUAAUAUUAAAAUUUCUAUAUAUUGUUCCUCCAUUUGGAGUUUACCGUUGUUUUAUUGAGAAAAUUUUAUUGUUAAAUUUUUUCACAUAAAUCAUUAAAUUAUUUUAAGAAAUUAUAUUUAUUAAGUUUUUGUUGAUAUUAUACAAACAUUUUCCAAGAAAAUAAUUUGUUUAUAUUAUUGAAAUUAUACAAUAUAUAAUUGGAGUAUAAAAUAACAAACUUUAACAAUUAGGCAAACACAUGGAUAGUUGAAAAGGAAAUGAUAUUAUGAAAGCCACAUGAGAAAAGACCAAACUCGUUAAUAUCUUGUGAAGAAAGAAACCAUAGUAUGGGUCUAGUACUCACUUAAUGCCUACUGCUUUUGCUAUAUAUAUAUAUAUAUUAUAUAUAUAUAUAUAUAUAUAUAUAUAUAUAUAUGCAAAGAGAGAUAUUAAGUCUCAAACACAAUAACAAUGAGUUCGAAUAUGUUUACGUAGUAAAGUUGAAAUAAGUUUGAAAACAGUGUAUUAGAUGAACUCUUUCUUUAAAACAUUCAAUAUUUUGAAAAGCAAGAGGUGCCUUGAACAUGGUGAAAACCACUUUUAAUAACAAAAGCAGAGAUAGGUUGUGUUUGGAAAAUGAAAAAGGCUAUGAAAGUCAAAAGUGAUUGUUGCCAAUAAUAGAUGGUGGGUAUAUGACAAGUGAAUUAAUAAGCUUAAUUUAAUAGGUUCAAAACUACACAUUUUGACUCUCACUUCUGUGGACCAAACCCAAAAAAAAAUUAUUUCUCGAACUACUUUGGUUCGGGUGUUUUUUUUCAACAUUAGUAAUAAAAGAAAGAAAAAUUAUUUUUAAAAAUAAUAAAUUUUACCAAAUAUUUACAACUUAUAGUAAAUUUCAUCAUUGAUAGUCAUUGAUAUGUUAUAACGAUAAAAGACUAUUAAUGAUAAAGUGCAAAAUUUUAUUAUAACUUGUAAAUAUUUUAAUUUAUUUUGCUAUUGUUAAAAAUGCCCCUAAAAGAAACAAACUAUAUCUAUUUCAUGACAGAAAACCAUAAAUAUAAUAUAAUUAAUCAAAAUAUUUACAGCAAAGUUUUAGAUUCUAUCAAUGAUAGACUUUAAUAAAUAUUGAUAAUAAUGUCUAUCAAGAAUUGUCAGACGCUAAUAAAAGACUACUAGUGUUUAUUAGUAAUAGAAUCUGAAAAUUUUGUUAUGUGUAUAUAUUUUAAAGAGUUUUACCAUUUACCAUUUACCAUUUACAAUAAUUUUCAUGUCAUAAAUUGUAAAUAUUUUGUCAACUUUAUCAAAUAACACUUGAGAUGUGUUUGAAAUCCAUUUUCAAGCGUUUAAUUUAAAAAAUAAGUGAAUGAACUUCUUUUAUUUUAAAUAAAAGCUUUUCCUAAGUCAAUCCAAACAAAGUUCUAGGUGGAAGAGUGAAAUUAAGAUUUUUUUAUUUUUUUUCAUUUUAUCAAAGGUUAAUCUAUCAACCAAAGAGGGCAAAAGCUAUAUACAUAAAUCAUGGAGAAAAAACUUUUUAACUACGAUUUUAUCAGUAAAAGUAUAAUAAAAAAUACAUAGGUGUUUAAAUAAUACGACAACUCGAACCAUCUAAACUAUCCAAUUCAAAUUAGAAAGGUUGAAUUGAGUUAUAUUUAUUCUUCCUCUUUAUUUCUAUUUUUCCUAGAGAUUGGUAUGGCCUUAAGUGAAUAUAUAUAUAAACUUGAUCUAACUCUACUCGAAUAAAUUUUGUAGGUUUAUCUUGAGGUUGAAUUUCUCUUUUAGUGUUUUUACUUUUAUCUAAAGUUUGUAGUAGAUAACAUAGAUAUAUGACAUUUGAUUUUUAUGAAAAUUUAGUUAUUAGCAAUGCAUAAUAGAUAAAUUCAAACUAUUUAAUACAACAAGAAGAAAAUAACGAUAAUCCAAAACCCUACUACACUAAGCUAAUCCAAUUUUUUUAGAGUUAGAUUGGAACUCAAAUUUAGACAUUUGGGAUAUCUAACCAAUCUUAAGUCGUCUCCUAUCGAACCAAAUUCACCCGGUGUCCAUGGUAAGACCGAGUCAAUUUUUAUUAGUACAAUAAUUUGUGUGUCCUUGUACAACUGCUACAAUAUCAUUUCAUCAUUGGAUUCCACCCUAAGAGAAAGAGAAGAAGAGGAGUAGACAAAAUUAUUCAAAUCUUACAUUAUUGUAAUCAUUAACUUAAAAGUUUCACAAUACUCGAAAAAAAGUUUCAAUACACAUUAAUUUUUCUAUAUAGAAAAAAACAAAAUCAAAUGUAUGCUCUACCCACUAUAAGGCAGGCGGUAGUACUACUAGUUACUAUUAAUUCACAUGCUUGUUAUUCUUUUUUUUGGACUAUUCAUGAUUUCAAAGUUCUUUUUUUCUCUUUUUUAUUAUAUUAUAUUUCCAAACUAAACAAUAGUUUUAGAGAUAGUUUGAAACGAUAAUUAUCUAAGACUUGACACUGUUUCAAAACCAUUUGUUUGCUAUAAUAUUUACUGUUUUAAAUUUAUCGUUCUUUUAUUAUUUACUGCAGUGUUUACUAUUAUAUAACCAAAUUAUCCCAAACACAAACUAUUAUAGUCUAACUUUUCUUAUAAUUAUAAUAACUUACUAUUUGUCUCAAACUUUCAUUCAUCUCUAAUAUUGACUCUUAUAAGUUUUUGUUUAUGAAUUAUGUAAAAUUAAAAGUUCAAAAAACUUAUUAGAUAUGAAAUUAAAAGUUGUGUUUCUUUUUUUUUAACAUUUUUUAAAAUAGCAAAAUAUGUUAAAAUAUUUACAAACUAUAACAAAAUGUAUAAUUCUAUCAAUGAUAAUCAUUGAUAGAUUCCUAUCACUAAAGACUAUCAAUGUCUAUUAUUGAUAAAAUUUAACCAUUUUGCUAUAUGUGGUAAAUAUUUUGUCAAAAUUACUAUUUUUGACACAUCUCUUUUUUUUUAUAGAUAUUUUGGAAGGUUCGUGGUUUGAUAGGAACUCUAAAAUUUUAGGAAUAUAUAUUGUCCAUUUUUCAAGUUAUAUUUAUUGAUCUCCUAUUUAUUUUUAAUUAUGCAUCCUUUUUCUCUACCUCAAUUUAAAAUAUGAAUUAGGUUGGUCUCAUUUUCAUACCAUUUUUAAUGUAAGUUAAAGUCAAACUAGUUUUUCUUUUUUUUCUCUUCCAAAGUUAGCCUAUUGUGCUAUCAGAUUCGAUUAGUGACAGUGUGAAUGUGAACCAACUCUUGUUUGUAUUAUACUAAAAAAGUAUAUUUGGUUAAUUUAUUUAUUGGAAGAAAAAAAAAUUAUUUCCAAUACUCAACCAAUUUUUACCAUAGGUGAUAGGAGCUUUAUUUAGUAAAAAGUUAUAGAUUUGAAUAUCCUACUCCAUGUAUUAUAAUAAUCGAGAUGAGUUAUCAAACUUUUAAAACGAAUAAUUGGUAUUUUAUCUUUUGAUCAUCUAUGUUUGAAUUGACAACGUUAGAAAUUUCUCAAUAACAAUAUUGUUAGUAAAACUAACCCUAUUGAACUUUACCAAAAGUUAGAAGGGAGAGGUUGGGCUUGGAUUCAAAUUAAUAUGACCAACCAAUCAUUGAACAAAUCGGAUCUAAUAUUAAUGCGUGUAGAAUAAGAAAAAAAAAACAUCUCAUUCUAAUUAUAAGAAAUAGCUAACUUGAAUUUUUUUAUUUUCUUUCUCCAUUUUAGACUUCUUUAUCUUUAAUUUGAGCAUCAAAGUCAUUUAUUUUUUCCCCCUGAACAACAAAUUUAUUGUUCAAUCAUACAAAUGUUAAAUGUUAUGCACGUUUUGUUUACAAAGAUUAAUCUCUUAACUUAAAAAAACAAUGUGUAGGUUAAUUUUGAUGAGUAAUCACUUCUGGUAACAAUGAAAUUUAGUUUUUUUUUUUUUUUUUAAGGUAAAACAAUGGACAAGAAUUAUAUUGGAAUUCAUAUUCAAUAAUGGAGAUGCAUAUGUGGCAAUUGACUUAAUUUAAAUAUAUAUAAUUUAGAAAAGAAAAUCGAAACCCUUUUUAUUAUUUUAUAUAUUCAAUUUUGAACUUGGUUUGGUUUUAAAGAGCACUUAAAAUUGCCUCACUUCACCAAAAAAAGAAAAAAAUUAAUCAAUACUCUUUAACAAUCAUUUUCAAAGACAUUUUCUCAUUAUAAAAACACUAUUGGUUGUUGACAUUGAAACUCAAACACCCAAUUCUUUUUACAAGAUUUUGAAACAUAAAAUUGGUGAAGCAUUGGGAAUUUAUUUUUAAAAUCAGUUGAUUGAAUCUCAUAUUUGCAUUAUUGAAGCAAAAGAUAUAUAAAUUUGUGAAAAAUAGAAAAAAAAGUUGGGAUGGUAAUAAAGUAAUUCCGAAUGAAGGAAAAGGGUCCUACUGCAUUAUUUCAGAAAAUAAAGAGUUGGAAAAAGAAAAUCUGAAAUUUGGAAACUUAUCGAAAUGGACAAAGAGAGGGAGAAAAAAAUAAAAGACUUUAAAAAUAAAUCACGUACAGACAGGAGCAGAAUAACAUAAAUUACAACCUGGCCCUGAUUUUCUUUCAUCUUCAAUCAAAUCAUCGCAGAGUCCAGACACGGCACUCAACGACGACUACAAAGAUGAUGAUGAUGAUCAAAUCAUGUAAAGAUCCAACGCUCACAAAUGAGACACGACCAAACCCAUCCGAUAAAAGAAACUUAACAAAACCAAAUACACCAGAUUAAAAAGAAAAGAAAAGAGUGGCCGCCGUCGCUGCCGCGUCCGCCGUGGGUGGUGGUGGUGCUUGACUUAGUAGUCGGUGGUUGGGAGUUGCUCGUGGGAGUUGGAGAUGAAGAUGAAUUCGUAGAUGAGACCAGCAAGGCCACCACCGAUCAAAGGCCCGGCCCAGUAGAUCCAGUGGCUUUCCCAUGACCAGCUCACGACUGAUGGGCCGAAUGCGACGGCGGGGUUCAUGGAGGCUCCGGUGAAUGCUCCACCGGCCAAAAUGUUGGCUCCGACGAUGAAACCGAUUGCGAUGGGUGCAAUUGUUCCCAAACUGCCCUUCUUGGGAUCCACUGCGGUCGCGUACACCGUGUACACCAAUCCGAAUGUCAUGACGAUCUCGAAAACGAAGGCGUUCAGUUCACCAACUCCUGCUGAUAGAGCGAAGCUUCCGGUGGGCUGUCAUGCACACGAAUGUAAACCCCAAUUAAAUUAAUAAAUGAAUAAAAGUGAUUUUCUUCCCAAGUAACUGAAAUAACGACAUCUUACCCUAACAUUUAGACUCUAAUAAUCCCAUAAAAUUCCAAAAGAAAAAAAUAGCCAUUUAAUAAGAUUGCUACAAUGUGGCUCCUUCCUAAUAAUUUUUCAGUCUAUGCUUAAAAUUAUAAAUGUAUCUUAAUAAUUAUUAAAUAUAAAUUUGAGAUACUUCAAACUUUCGGUAGGAUGAUUACUUACAUUUUUCAAAAUUUUUUAAUUUAAUGCCCAGAUAUCUUACAUUGUGUCAGUAUCAUUCAAUAAUAUUUAAUUUAAAAUUUGUAAGUGAGUUUAAUAAAAAAAAAUUAACAACUUAUUCAUUUUUCUUGGGUUUGCUUAAUUUUUUUUAAUGUUAUGUUAAGAUUGACUUCUUUUUUCUCAUUUUGACUGUGUUAAGACAUUAAUAAAUUUAGGUAAAACUCACCAAGCCAGUGACGAAUUUAAGGAGCAAGCAAGCGACAACGGAUCCGAGGAGUUGAGCAAUCCAGUAGAUGAUACCACGUAGAAGGGUGAUGUUACCGCCAACGAAGGCACCAAAGGUAACAGCGGGGUUAACAUGGCCACCGGAGAUGUUAGCGCCAACGGAGACGGCAACGAAAAGAGCAAAGGCAUGGGCGAUGGAGGCGGAGAUGAGACCAGCUGGAGUGGCAGCGCCGUCAUUGGUGAGCUUAUUAAAGGCUAUGCCGGAACCUUGGCCAGCAAAAACAAAAAUCAAGGUGGAGAUAAACUCAGCCAAUCCAGCCUUCAAAGCAUCUGGAUGAGUAGCCUCUUCGGGCCUUCCAAUUGCAAUGUUACGGAUCGGCAUGGCUAGUAAUAAUUAGAGAACUUUAAAAUGAAAAUUCUUUAGAAUUAAUUGUAGUUUGUAGUACUCCAUUUCCACGUCCAUUUUCUAGGCCUUAUAAUGGAACGUUGGAGGGUAGGGUUAACUGGCUACAACAGGUUGCCGGUAAUAAUAGAGGGCAAUUAAAAAAAAAGGAAAUGAAAAAUGAAUUAAUAGUUGAACGUGAUUGGUGGACAUGGCCAGGCUGUGAAAUAUAAGGGGAAAUAUUAAUUGGUUGCCGCUGUUAUCCGAUGACCGUCCAGAUCCAGCGAAGCAAUUCGGCGCUAGGGUGUUGAGAUGUUGACACGUGUCUAUGGCUGAUAGGGACACGUAACGUGCAAAUUAUGUGGAUUUCGUCUCCUUUCGCUUGUUCUCUGGAGACAUCGAAUCCACUUCCCACGUUCAAUUAUUUCUCCACUUUUCUUCAUUUUCAAUUUUCUUUCUUUUUGGAUUUCCCCCUUUAAUCUCAUUUAAUUUCAUCCUUAUUAAUCCUUUUUUAUUAAUUAAUGAUCCUCAAAAUCUCAAUUUUUAAAUUUUAAGAUAUCUUUUUUUCUUCUUUUGGAAGGUUUUCCAUUUAUUUAUUAUAUAUCAUAUCAACCACGUUUCGAAAAUUAAGAAAAAUAUUUUAAAUAACUAAAUUGUUAAAAUAUUUAAAUUAUAACAAAAGUAUACUUUAUUUAUCAUCGUCUAUCACGUAUAAAUCGUAUAUUAAUAAAUAAUUUAGUUUAUUUUGUAAUAUUGAAAAACAAUUCAAAUUUUUACUUAGUUAUUUACUGUGUUUUCAAUUAUAAACUAUGUGUGAUUUGAUAUUUACAAAUGUUAAUAAAAUAAAUUUUGACACUCCCUGUCAUCAAUAACUAUAUAUUUAUAAUUAAGAGAUAUAAAAUACAUUUAUUUGAAUUUUUUAUUAUAAACCAUCACAUAUAUUUUAAACAUAUAUAGACUUCAAGAGUAAACAUUUUUUUUUUAAUGUUAUUUGAUAUAAUCGGAGUAUAAUUUUACUUAUUUUUAUGUAUAAGUUUUUCAAAGUAAUUUAAUUUGAUUAAGUAUGAAUUAAAAUAAUACUAAUAAGAGUUUUAAUAAAAUGUUAAACCACCACUAUCAUUGUGGUUGUGACAAAAUCAUUUUCCAAUGAAGCACAAAGUCUAAUAUUAAUGAAUUUGUUUAAAUAAUUUAAGUUGUUUCUUCUUCUUCUUUUUUUUUUUUUUUUUGGUGGAUUAUGCUGGUGAUCUGUAGAUGGUUAUCUAAAUUAUCUUAAUGGAAUCUUUGGAUAAUUAAAGACCAAUGUGAUGAGAUUUAAUAAUACCACACAUAUGUAUGUAUGUGAUCUGAUCUAAUGAUAUAUUUUUUUUAAUUUAUUAUGAAAAUUUUCCACAUAUAUAUCAAAAUCAAAUAAACAAAUAAAAGAAACAAACUAGUUUUAAAAAUUGUCUCAUUCGGAUAAUCCAUAAAUUAAAAUUCUUUCUAUCUUCCUCUUAAUUUGCAUUUAUGUUAUUUUUAUUUUUUUAUUUUUUUAAUAUAUCCAUCUGCAUUAUCCAAAUGGGAACUCUUCUUCUUUUUCUUUUAUUUAUGGAGAAAAUUUUCGUAAUAAAUCUCAGAAAAAUAUUGCAAUAUAUCAUUAGAUCAGAAUGCAUCAACUUGCCCGUGACAAUUCAAUUUUUAGGAUAAGAAUCUCUCUCUAUGUGUAUUUCUGUAUAUUAUUUGUAUUUAUAAAUAUAUAUAAUGUUUUGGUUGAUAAACAUGAGGUUUGGUUUGGUUUUAUCUUGAAUUAGGUAAAGUAUUUAAGAAUGUUAAAGAUUUUUUUAGCAAAUUCAGAGAGUUGUUUGAGGUAACAACAAAUUCAAACAUUUUUUUAAAAAUAUUUUAAUACUCUUUAAAUUUUAAUAUAUUAAAAAAAUACAAGACAAACAAACAAAUAUUUUUAAUUACUUUAUCACGAUUGACAAAUAUAUUCGUUUCACUUUAGACGUUCAUAAUUUAUAUUAAUUCACAAAAUAACUUUAGAUCUAAAUGUUUUGAAAUUUUAUCUUAUAUCAUCUACAUUUAUAACUUUUUAUGAACUAUCUUUCUAAAAAGUUAAUGUUUUUAUAAACAAGGAAAAUACAAAAUAUGUAGAUAAGAAAUUGAAAAAAAUUUCGUUUAGAAGUUCCAAAAUGAACAUCGUAGACAAAGUUUUGUUUUAGGAGUUUUUAUUACUUGGUGUGCCUAUGUUUUCGCCGUUGACAAUCUUGUCCUCGUUAGUUUUUGUCAAUGCUAAUUGAAAAUUAGUUGUGCGUAUUUGUUUACGCUCUUUUUAACUUAGUUUCUUGUUAACUUGAUCCAUUGAAUUGUUGUAAAAUUUUUACAAUGAUUUAUGGCCUCUAAUUUGAAAACAAAAUAAAUUUAUUUUUGGGAUAACAAUAAGACAAACUAAGCAUCCAAAUAUUAAUAUUAACCCUUUAAUAUAUAGUAGAAUAUUCUAUUGGAUGUUCGUUCCAUUUUUUUCUCUCUUUCUGACUUAUUAACAAAUCAUUGUAAACGAUGAUCCCACCAAUCAACAUGGGAUAAAUAUCAACUUCAUUAAACUUCCUUUAUAAUCUAUACAUUGUUUUCUAUUUUUAAAUAAAUAAUAAUAACAACAAUAAUAAUUCAUAUUCUCCCUUUUUCUCAUAUCCUAAUUUUAAUUCAAAUGUCAUAUUGGUGUGACAAGUCUCUUUUACAUAAUAUUUGUUCUCUUUAAAAAAAAUCUUGAACCUUCCAUUUAAAAUUUUGUAACUAUUUAUGACUUUUGCUAUUUCACACCAUCCAGUGUUUGGUUCGUAAUUGAUUGAGUCUGCAUAAUACAAUACAAGGUCUAGAAGCUGUCCCAUGGUUUGUUUGUAAAUUUGUCUACUCUUUUUUAUAUAAUCAUGAACAAAAGAAAAUAAAAUGUUCGUUGCUUUUACAUUUAUGCAUCCAUAACAAUUUUAAUUCAUCAUAGGUUAAAAUUGUUUACGGUUGUCAAACACAAGUAAUCUUUUGUUUUUAAAAUUACUUAUUUUUUAAAUUUAGCCGUUAAAAGAUGUAUAACAAACUUACCAAUAUUAUUUUAAAAUAUAAUUGUUUGUAAUUAUUUAUUUUAGUCUCUAACAAAUAAUUAAAUAUUAAAGUGGAAAAAAACACAAAUUUUCUUCAAUAAAAUGGAUAGAGAAUUUGGAACUCGGAAUUGAAUUAUAAAAUUUAAGUUAUGAAGCAUGUGUUAAAGUGUAAAAUUGGAAGGUAAAUUAUUUUGAUAAAAUGGUAAAAGAGAAAAGGAUAAAAAAAAAAAAAGGUAAAAUUUCUUAGGUGGGGUUGUAGUGUGGUUUAAUUUGAGCCACAGAAUGAAAGUACACAAUUUUGUGUUAUUUAAAUGAGAGGGAGAGAGUUAGUGAAGGUCUCAAAAGCAGAAGGAGAUAAGAUAUCCCACAAAUGGGUGCGGCAUCUAAUGAUUUAAGCUUGAAAAUGACCAAUUUUCUUUUCUUUUAUAUGUAUGUGUGUAUUAUGUAUUUCUAUUUUUAAUUUUUUUUUUUUUUGCUUUCAUUAUUAUAUUAAGAAAGUUUGCUUUUUGGGUGUGGGGAAAAGACGUAGAGAAUUCUGGAAUAUGCCAUCAUUGAUAUUUAAAUUCAGCGCCAAACUUUCUAAUUUUCAUUGCCUUUUAAUUAUAUUUUAGGUUUCUCUUUAAAUCCUACCAAAAUUAUUUGUUUUCAAUCCCGUGUAGCAGCAACUCGUUUGGUAUAUGUUCGAGAGUAAUCGUUUAAUAUAUGUAUGAUAAGUAAAGGUAAAAGUUUAAUUACUCAAAUAAAUACUUAACACUUUUAUACAAUUUUUAUUUAUUUAUUUCAAUAAUAAUGUAUGGAGUUAAAUAGUUUAAUUAAACGUUUUGGUUAUUGGUUAUAGAUGCAUAUAAUAUAACUAGUUGGUGAUAAAAAUUCAAAUUUUUUUAAACAUUUGAUCAUAAUAUGCUUAUCAAUGUAGUGGAAAAUGAAAAUAGAAAGAAGAAAAAAAAGACUACAAAUACAAGAAUUUGAAAGGGCAAAUUGAAUUGAUAAGGUCAAUAUGAAGGUGGGGAACAUAAAGAAUCACAUACAUGUUAAAGCCAGGCUGCCAUUUGCUCAUUGGCCUUCUCUUUCUUUUGUUGUCUUAUGGAAAUUGAAACUUGAAGGGAUCUUUCACUCUAUCACUCCCUGAUUCUGUGGCAAAUCUUUGUCAUUUUACUCUUUUAUUUAUCACUGCCCUAUCAUUUUUUGUUUACUUCAGUUACCUUAUGGUUAUGGGAGAGUAACACAAAUUAUUUCAUUUAUGACAUGAUGUUUGUGUGUCAGUGAUGUAUGAAUACGAUCUUUUUCAUGGGAAACGCUCUUAGUUUUGUUGGUUAUGUAGAGUUCUGAAAACAUCAAUAUGUCACUUUUUAGUCAUGUUAAGUACAACGGACCUUCAGAUAUCUCCACAAUGAUAUGAUAUUUGUCCAUUUUGAACAUACAUUCUCAUGAUUUUGCUUUAGCUCAACAAUCUAUAGUGGUUGGUCGUCCAUUCGACCACGAACAUGUACUUUGAACAUAACUAUGUCUCAUUCGACAACUAAGGAUUUUUUUUAGUGAUGAGACAUUAUUCUAACACCAAUUUAUUAGGGACAACAAACCUUCAAAUAUAUCUUCACAAACUUUAGGCAGGACUCUCAUGAUCACUUUGUUUUUUUGGAUUCACCCAAAAAAGUUUUGUACCAUUGGAGAUAGUUGUCAUCUCUUAUAAAUCAUGAUUAUUCUCUUAUUUAACUGACGUGAGACUUUGAUCGCAUUCCCACUUAAAAAGCUUUGAUUUUUAAAAAAUUACUUGAUGGUUUGAAUCAUUCCAUUAACGAAGUUACAAGUUUUUGUCAAUGAGAAUUUAGAUCGAUUACCGACAAAUAUAGGUUUGCUUGCAACUUUUUUUUUGGUCAAAGGUUUAUUGAUGCAUUGCUCAUUGAUUACCAUGUUAUUCAAUCAACAACCAACCUUUGGUGUUUAAUUAGAUUAAAUUAAAGAUCAUCCUCAAUGGAUGAAUGAAUUUUCUUGUGUCUCUUGAGGAUCUUGUUUCUUUUACUUAUUUUUUUUAUAAUAUAUGAUAGAUAUACAUGCACGCGAUAAAAAAAAUUAUGAGGUGAUAAACGUAAUAUUUAAUGAAACAUAAUAGCUAUUUGUGACUCUCUCAAACCACAACUACACAUUUUUCACAUUUUCUUUAAAUUUAUAGGGUUUGUUUGUUCUCCUUACACUACACGUGAGGAAAGAGACCUAUCUUUCUUUUUUGUCUCCCUUCUUUCCAUAUCAUCAUAUAUUUUUAGUUGUUCGUUAUAGUAAUUUGAUCAUAUUUGUAAAAACGCUUCGAAGGUAGAACAAACCAAUCAAGCUUAUAUAUAAAAAAAAAAAAUUGAGAAAAUGAACAAAUCUAUGAUUUUUUUUUAAAAAAAUCUAAACAUAAUUUCAACUUGCUCGACCGGUUCAAUUGCGACCUCAUACUACAAUUGCAUCAUCGCUCUCAAUCUAUACCCUAAUAAUAUCGUUAAAAGUUUACGUCGUUGGGCCUAUUUUCAGUAGAAGGUAUCCUAACCAAUAAGCUUUGAGAAUGAUAGUAAAAACGAGUGGUUGGUGGUAAUGAAAACGAAAGGAAACAAUGGUCGGUUACAACACCUUUUCCUUUCCCCAUUUUACCCUUAUUAUAAUUCACAUAAUUUAUUUUGGGUUGAAUCUCCUCGUCUCAUUCAAUACUUUUAUUACAAUUAAACCGACACAUAUUUAUUAUAAUUUUGACUUGAGUUUGUUCAAUAAUAUUAAACUACGUCAAAAAUAAGAGAGAGGGGCAUUUAUGAAAAAUCCCUUCAAACUUGAUUUGUCGUGCCGAAAUUGGAGAGUUGCUCUACGCCAGCCAGGGCCUAAGCUUGUGGGUGCGACGCAUGGUCGGCGCUUGGACGGCCCAGUUGGGCCAUUGAAAACGACUACAAUUUUGGAAAAUCUAUAACAUUUCUUUUUCAAAUUUCAAAUUUUAAUUAAAUAUCAAUCAAAAUGGGGCGGUGUCCCACCCUUUUACAUAUUCAAACCGAUAAGAACAACAAAUAUCUUAUCUGUUUAUUUAUAUAGCCAUUCUCAAAAUAAUAAUAAUUAAAUUGGUACACUCCAGAGAUGAACCUUUUCUUUUUCUGAUUGGAGAAGAAGGCAGUCUCAUCUACGUCUAAGUAAUUGGAUCUAUAGGAACCAUUAGAAAGUGUGUAUAUGUGACAAAUAGUUUUAGUAUUAAUUAUUAUUUGGAUGGUUUGAUUGGUUUAGGCGAGGUGGGGCAAGGGAAUUGUAGAGUAAUAUUUGACGCAUUGGAAGUGCAAAAUAUUUGGGCUCACUGUCGGUUGUCUUUUUGUUGGGUCGUCACCGCCCACUCUCACUACUACUCCGACCAUACCAAAUUUUCUCUUUGACCCAUUUAAAGUAAUGGACACUUUCAUUUUGUAAAUUUGUAUAUUGUUUAACGUGGAGGGUAAAUGCAAAUAUAAUAUAAUAACCAACCCUUUGAUAUCUAUAAAAAAUGAUCGGUUUAAUAAAAAAACUUAUAAAAGAUAAAUUUAAUGUAAUAUCACACCAUUAAAAGAUAAAUUUAAUGUUGUCUUCUGUCUACGAUAUAAAUAAAAUUAUCGAUAAUAUUGAUGUUUUUCUCUCUCUAUUUUAUAUAAUGUUUUAUUAUUGUGAGAUAAGGAUGUAAAUAACUUAAAUAGAGAGUUUUUGUAUUGACGUGUGAGAUAUAAUCAUACUUUUGGAUUAUAUAUAUAUAUAUGAUGUACUUGUGUCCAUAAACUCCGUCGUUUUUUUAUGGCAAAUGAUCCCAACGGACAUCAAGUAUGCAUGUUCGAUUUCGAAAUUAGAGGUUUGAUAUUUCAUUCUACGUAUUGUAAAAAAAUAGUUGGAAUUUUGAUUUUCAACUUUUAUUUUCUUUGUUUUUGUUUUUUAUUUUCUUCUUUUCAAAAUCUUAGAUUUUGUAUUAACAUGUUUUGUUAGCGUAGAUUUUAUGUUUAUCGAAUCAAUUUUUGAAUUAAAUCAUUAUGUUUUUUUUUUUUCAUGUUGCCAAAAUUUUAAAACCUAUUUUAGUUGGAAAUUUAAAAACAUAAAAGUUUGGAGUUGUAUUUCAUGUUUUCAUUUGUUAACAAACCAAUUAACUUAUAAACUUAGUUUUAUGUUAAACAUGUAUUGUAAUUUCUAGAACAUACAGUCAAAUUAUGUGGCCAAAAAGAGCAUAUCCCAACUUACAAUAUAAAUACAAUUGUGACAAAAAAAAUAAAUUAAUGGUUUGUAUCUUCCAAUCCUUCCUAUUGUACUGAAAAAACUAUCAAUCCUAACAUAUAUUUUGUAAAUCAAACAAUUAUUAAAAAUAUAAGACAAUAUAAAAAAACCACAAAUAUAAUAGUAAUUACAAUUAUAACUCAAACUUCAAAUGACACAGAUCCAAUUUCUAUAACUAUGAAGGGCGUUUGGAGGAAAGAGAGAUUUAUGAUAAGAUUAGUGUUAUGAUAAUUCUAGUAUUAUAAUAGUUCUAGUGUUAUGAUCAUAUGCGUUUGAAGAAAGAAUUACGAUACGUAGGGUUAUGAAUAGUAUAUAUAUGAGAAAAGGAUUAUGAUACUAUUGUUGUGAUGUUUUCUUUUUCUAAAAUAUAUAGUGUAGAUUUAAUACACAAAUUUCGUAAAUUUAUUUUAUUAAAUUAUCUUAUGGUAUUCGUUCAAUAAAUUUAGCAUCCAUUGUGAUGUUUCGUUUUUUCUUUCAUGCAUAUAUAUUGCAUAUUGAAUUAAAGAAACUUCCUAAAUCGAACGUACACAUCAAUAAUUUAAGAUGUGAUAUUGUGUUUGUACUUGUUUGUUUUUUCAUGCAAAUAUAUAUUUGUCAUUAGAUGGAAUAAUUUUCUUAAAAUCAUUUUUUUUAAUUUUCUUAAUUACGACAUUUAUUUCAUAAAUUUUCUAUUAAAUCGUUACUUUUACCACUUUUUCCUUUUUUGCGUACACAUGUAAGGGAAAACAUGUAAACACAAACCAUUAUUAUUAAAAUUGCUUACGUAAGAUUCUUUUUCCAUUAAAUUUCGAUCUAUCUCAACAUAAUGCUUACAUCGACAUACUAGUUUAAGUAUACAUCGCUACUAUUCGUAACUUUAGUGAUAAAGCAAUGCAAAAGACAUUUCAAAUACGCAUUUCCACGUUUCUCAUCCUCUUUAAUUUAUGGCUAAGAUAUUUUCUUAAAAAUAACUAAAAAGUGUCUAGGUCUAAUUUAUUAUAUUCUAAGCAUUGUUAUUUUUAAUUGUCACAUGUCAUCCAAAAAAUAGUACAAAAAUCUACAUUACAUCUAAACAUUUUUUUCUUUUUACCACGUACUAGCUGUGAGUAAUUUUAAGCUUUAAAAACUUUUAUUUUAAAAAAAAACAAUAAAAUUUAAGAUCAUUUUCUAUAAUUUAGUUAGAAAACAAGACAUUUAUUAGCUAAAAUUAAAAUAUUUGGAUAAGAUUAAUAAGAACUAUAUUGAUUUUCAAUUGAAUAACUUAAUUAAAAAAAACUAUUUAGUUAAAGAAGAGUGCAAGUAUAGACUCCCACUUUCGUUUAUUUAAAGAAAAAAAGAAAGAAGAGGAAAACCCAUGCGUUUAGGGUUUAGUAUGUAUACAUGGGUCAUGUCAAUAGGCUUUUUCGUAAUAUUCUCCUUUAAAUCUUCUUCUACAUUUUCGGAGGGGCUUACCCGAUUCACCCUUGAUACACCCAAAUAGCCCCUAAGUUUGAAAGUUAAUAGUGUGAUUGCAAUUUCCACCCGUUUUUUGUUGUCUUCUUUUGUUUUGUUUUUUUCUUUUAGUCGCAAAAUUUCCAAAAUAUAAUGACAAGCUGGUCCAACAUAUAGCCCAAUUCAAAAGCAGUAUACUAUAAAUGGGCCGAAAGCAGUGUCCUAAAAGUGGGCCAUUUUUCGGCCCACACUUACAUUGACCUCAAACGGCUUAGCCCUCCAAAAAUGGAAAUGUGAUGGAGACGUAGACGUAGGAUAAUUGUUGCUAAAAGUACUCUUUGAUGAAGAAUUAACGUGGUAAUAGUGCAGUGCAUGUUGCAUAUACAAUCUCAUGGUCACAUCAAUUAAUGCUCUAGAAUUGAGAAGUCCAGCUACUCGUGGUCACAAAACGUAUGUUCGAACGUUAAAUAAUAUAAAUUUAAAGUAAGAUAAAAUGAGAAUAAGUAAAUAUGAAACGAUAUUUUCCUUGGUCGAUGGACAUUGUCUCGUUUUAAGCUAUUGAGAAUUUAAUAACAAAACAUUAGAAAACUAUUUCUUUCAGUUUUGACUUAUUUUUCCCUUUAAAUGUGAAAAUAGCCUGAAAUAUCAUAUGUAGAUAUAAUUAGACUAAUUCCAUAUCAUUCGGCUCGAAUUUUUGCCUCUUCACAUCGAUGAUUGAAAAUCAUUAACCAAGGGCGUCAAAUUUAAUCAUAUUUAUUUAAUAAUAAUAAUUAUAAAUUAAAAACACAAACCAAAUAAAUAUUUUUGAGCGUUUUUAUCAUUCGCUCAAAGUAAAUAAAUCAAGUUCAAAACAUAUAUUUAUUCGAUGAAAAACAUAUUCAAGUUUGAUAUGUAUUCACACUUUAUAUAACUUUGUAUAACGUAAAAUAAAAAAUACACUUUUUCAAUAAAUAACUAUCAAGCUUUAGUCAUAAAGCAUAGUAAACUUAUUUGAUUUGUACUAUACACCUCAAGUUUUAAGCAUAGAUUUUGAAUUAACAAACCACUUCAUUUACAAAGUUCUAUGAUCUAAUCUAAAUAAACUAUCUUUCUUGAUCUAUUGUAAUUUACGGUAAAUAGAAUAUAACAUAGUAUUAUAUUUGAAAUAGUUAUCAUUUACAUAUUCUUAAAACUUUAGAAGAAAAAGAAAAUAAUCAAACUAUGUUCUUAAAAAGAAAAGAAAAUAAAUAAAGAAAGAAAGAAGGAAAUGGGGAAUUAUUAUUAUUAUUUAAAAGCGAAAUGAAUAAAAAUGACUAAACCCUCCAGUUGUUCCUUUUCCAAAACCUCCACGAUUUUCGUUCUUCUUCCUCCCGCCGUCGCCGCAGCCCACCCUCCAAUAUCCCUGCUGCAGUCGAACGCCGGCCUGGCACGCCAUUCUCGCAGCUCUAACACCCACCUACGUUCUUCUACGGCUGCUAGUCGUCAGUUCCACACUUAGUCUUCCACGGCCUCUCCAUGGUGAAGGCCUACCUUCGAUACGAGCCUGCGGCGGCUUUCGGAGUGAUCGUCUCUCUUGAUUCCAAUAUUACCUACGAUAGUUCCGGAAAGCAUCUUAUUGCUCCAGCUCUUGAAAAAGUUGGAGUCUGGAAUGUUCGUCAAGGUGUCUGCACCAAGAAUUUAACACCUACUCAGAGCUCUCCUGGCCCUUCUCUUGCUGUUACGGCCGUCACUUCCGCUCCUUCUCUUCUGGUUAGUCGUUUUCUUAUGGCAUUCCGAAAUAAUUUUGAAGUUACUAAGUUUGAGAUUCCUUCUACAGAAUAUGAAAUAUGUCUGUACUCUGAAUUGUUAAAUUUCAAUUGAUUUCAGAAAACUAUUUUAAUAGAAGUUCUUACCGCCAUCAGGUCCGCGGUGAUUUGUUGAGCCGAAAGCUUAUUCAUUAGUGAUGGUGACAAUAUCUUGAGGAAAAAAAUUGAUAGAAACUUUUAUUAAUUUUCAUCUUUAUCUUAAGUUGAAUUUUUGUAUGCAUGGAUGCUUGGAAGCAAAAAUUUCUUUGUCAAUUGAGAAAAACAGAAAACACUCUUAGGGCUUGAGAUUCAUUUGGUGUUAUGCUCAUUAUGCUUGUUAUAACUAGUGAGAACUGGCUGGAGGUUUGGUUCCAUUUCUAAACAAAGCAGUAUUUUGGCUCUGCCUGACUUUCUAUACAAUGGGGAAGUUGAAUUUCCAUUCAUUUUUAUUUUUAUUUUUUAUUGUUACAGAUCGCCAGUGGAUAUGCUGAUGGUAGUAUAAGAAUUUGGGACGCCGACAAAGGAACCUGUGAGACUACUUUACAUGGACAUAAAGGGGCUGUUACCGUCCUUAGGUACAACAAGCUUGGUUCCAUGCUUGCAUCUGGAAGCAAAGAUAACGAUAUUAUAUUAUGGGAUGCUGUUGGUGAGACAGGCCUUUUUCGCCUCCGUGGCCAUCGUGAUCAGGUUCACAAGUAUUACAAUUUGAUUGGAGCUAUUUUUUUUUUUUUUUCAUAUUUGAUUCUCUGAUAAAAAGAUAACUUCUUUUAUCAAGCUGAACCUGGUACACCGAAAGUAGAGCUCAAGUCUUCCUCCACUGCUUUGUCUUUUCUGUCCAGUGGAGUUUUUUCCUUCAAAAUGGCAGAUAUCGUGAACCUCUCAUUUGAAUUAUUGUGCCCACAUUGCUCCGAAAUUCGAUGUGCCAUACACUUUUCCAGCACCAAUUUUUCUUAAGAUUUCUAAACUACUCAAUUUAGAUUCUUGGCCUCUUCCCUUCAUUCAACUUUAUUCUGAUUUAGUUGGUUUAGGUUCUUGUCUAUGUAGAACUCAAGGACAUGGUUGUUCAACCUAUGAAACAUAUCCCGUUCACGUUAGAUUCUAAGCCUAAUUUUGUUGAUGAGUAUAUUUUUUAUGUAGUUCUCCUGUCAAAGGAUUUUCCCCCCUCCCCAUCUUUUUAGGUAGGCCUGAUUCAGUUGAUUACUAUCUUCUAGCAUGUGUAGAUUAUAUAAGAGGCCUGUCAUUCUCAUAGCUAUUUUCCUGUUCACUAAUGCCUUCUCCUUAUUCUUGGUGCAGGUAACUGAUCUGGUAUUUCUAGAUUCAAGCAAAAAACUCGUCAGUUCUUCCAAAGACAAAUUUUUAAGGGUGUGGAAUCUUGAAACACAGCAUUGUAUGCAAAUAGUUGGUGGACAUCAUAGUGAAAUUUGGUCAAUGGACAUUGAUCCAGAUGAGCGUUUUUUAGUUACUGGAUCUGCUGAUCAAGAACUUCGAUUUUUCACAACUAAACACGAUUUGGUGGCUGGUAAGUCUGUCGAUGAAUCAAACACAAAUGGAACCAAGGACAGUGAUCAAUCCACUCAAAGUAAAUGGGAAGUUCUAAAACAGUUUGGUGAAAUUACGAGACAAAGUAAGGAUAGAGUUGCCACUGUGAGGUUUAACAAGUCCGGAAAUUUGUUAGCUUGUCAAGUGGCAGGAAAGACUGUUGAGUUAUUCAAUGUUUUGGACGAAACUGAAGCUAAGCGUAAAGCAAAACGUCGUAUUAAUCGGAAGAAAGGAAAGAAAGCUGGAAAGGGAGAACAAGAUGUAACAGAAAAUGGAGAGUCAAACCAUACUACUGGAGAAGAAGGAAGCGGCUCCAUGAUUACAGUUGCAGAUGUCUUUAAGCUACUCCACACAAUUCGGGCUAGCAAGAAAAUUUGUUCAAUUUCUUUCUGUCCAUUGAUUCCAAAAAAUUCGAUCUCCACAGUAGCAUUAUCUUUGAAUAAUAAUUUAUUGGAAUUUUAUUCCGUGGGAAGCAGUGCAGUUACGAAAUUACAUUGUAUUGAACUCCAGGGUCACCGUUCUGAUAUCAGAAGUGUAACACUUAGUUCCGAUAAUUCACUUUUGAUGUCCACUAGUCAUAAUGCUGUAAAAAUUUGGAAUCCAAGUACUGGAUCUUGUCUUCGUACUAUUGAUUCUGGCUAUGGGCUUUGUGGUUUAAUUAUUCCUCAAAACAAGUAUGCACUUGUUGGAAAUAAAAGUGGGGCUAUAGAAAUUUUGGACAUUGCAAGUGGCAGUUGUGUCGAAGUCUUAGAAGCUCAUGGUGGCUCUAUACGAUCAAUUGUGGCUUUACCGUAUGAAAAUGGAUUUGUCACUGCUAGUGCUGACCAUGACAUUAAGUUUUGGGAGUAUCAUAUUGAGAAAAAAUCGGAACAAGUAUGUUCUCUUACUUCUUUCAUCUCCAUAUUUUUCUAUUUUGACUUAAAGAAAAUUCUUUUAUUUAGGGGUAUUGUUUUAUUUCUUUUGUGAUAAAAUGAAACUUGAUUUUCUCAAGUAAGACGGGCCUUUUCCCUGAAGUAGUUUGGUGCACAAUGACUACUUUAAUAUGUCUUCUUCUUGGCCACUUGUAAUUUGAUCAAAAAUCAUUUUUGUCUGUGCAUGGUUUCAAAUUUUAGAUUAUGAAUUCCUUGAGUUACAAAAGAAUUUGGAAUGUAACUUUUUACAAGAUUAUAAAAGCCAAAGGAGUCAUACAGAAGAGACUGGUCUUUAAAAGUUCAAUUUUUUCGUUCAGGCCGUAAGUGCCAGACAAGCAUUUUAAUGACACAGCUACCGAAAACCCUAGCUUUAGCUAGCAAAUUCAAACCAUCAAGACCUUCAAGGAGCCAUCCCCCUAGGACUUCCUUGAUUACUACUUCUUUUAAUAAAAUUUUCAUGAGAUAAACUUGUCUCAGAUAUUUUAAUUUUCUGUAAGAAUACAUUUUAGCUUUGUGCUUAAAUUGAUCUUUGACAAUGAUUCUGGCUGCUUUAUAUUUAGGUUUAGUAAAUAUUAUAUGUGGAUGAACUGUUUGAAGAAUCGAGGAUGUUUCAUAUUUGGAUUUAUCAAUGUGAUGUCUUUUUCAGUUUCCUUGUAAUUUAUUUCCACUCUAGAUAUAUAUUCAGUGUUAUAUGUGGCCUUUGGGCAUCAUUAGAAUCUAUGCCUUUUUAGGUUUGUGAUGUUCCAAUGAUGUUUUCUGAUUUACAGGACCCCAAAACCCUUUCUGUGACAUUUGUGAGGAGUAUGAAGAUGAAUGAUGAUGUUCUUGUGGCUGCUAUUAGUCCUGAUGGUAAAUAUCUUGCUGCAGCGCUGUUGGAUUCCACAGUGAAGGUGAACUUUUCCUUGUUAAAUUUUUACAUUUUUAUUAUUGUUGUUUUGUGAUUGUGAGCACAUGAAACCUUCUAUUAUUGUGUGUUUGUAUCAGCUUCUUGAGUAUUGCUUUUGAUACAGCUAAAGUUCAAUUUGGAGGAGGUGACAUUUACAUUUCUUUGCUUCGGGCUUUGUUCACUUUUUAUUUACAUAAGUCAAGUCAUCCCUUGUCAUGUGGCGUUGUUAAUGACUUUGUAUCACUUAUUUUGAAGUAAUCUGGACAGCCCCAGUAAGACUGUAUUUGGCCUUUCAGCUUGGGGUAGUUUGGUACGGUUACCUAAGAAGCACACUGUUAGACGUUGAGUUAAAUAUCUCACUUCUCAAGAAUUGUGUUAAAUCAUCAACCAACCCAAAAGCCAAAGUUGUUGGCCAUGGUAAAUUUAAUUAUAUGAAUACUUAAACACUCCCACACUUUUAGGCUUUGAAAUUUGUAGAAUUUAUAACAAGUGAAAUUUAAUAUUAAUCAAGGAGAAGUGACUUUUCAGUAGUUAAAAUUGUAGCCGUACCUUCUUCUUUGAUAUUAUAUUAAAUCACCAAUCAACCCAAAAGUUCAAGGCGGUGGAUUACGAUAAAUUUAGUUAUGUAAAUACCUCGACAUGUUUUGUAUUUUUGGGUUUGUAUUAAGAGAUAAGACAUAGUUCUUAUACCUUUACCUUCAGACUUUUUUUUUUACUAAUAUGUCUAUCUCAUGCUUAUAAAAUAAAACCAAAGGUAUUACUGUUAGUGAUAUAUAAUUAAAUUUUCUUUCCACCACUAGCUUAAUUUUUUGGGUGAAUUGGAGGUUUAAUAUGGUUUCAGAGCAGGUGAUCCAGGAAGGUCCUGUGUUUAAGCCGCUGCAUUGUCGUUUUCUCUCCAAUUAAAAUUGAUUUCCACUUGUUGGGCCUUUCAAAUAUUUCGAGCCCACAAGUGAAGAGAGUGUUAGUGAUAUAUAAUUAAAUUUGUCUUCAAUCACUAGCUUAAGCUAUUGAUGGUUUAGUAAUUACUACUUUAUUGCUUCAAGUUAUAUUUUCUGACUGCUUGUGUUCUCUCCAUUCUAGGUCUUCUUCAUGGAUACCUUCAAAGUUUUCCGUACUCUAUAUGGUCACAAGCUACCUGUGCUAUGUAUGGAUAUCUCAUCAGAUGGAGACUUGUUAGUGACUGGCUCUGCAGACAAAAAUUUAAAGAUUUGGGGUUUGGACUUUGGUGACUGUCACAAGUCUAUUUUUGCUCAUUCAGAUAGGUGAUGCAUUCAACAUAUAUGUAUUUUCAUUUGAAAAUGUUGUGGAAUGUUUAUUGAUUGUAAUUUUCUGGUUACAGUGUCAUGGCUGUUCAAUUUGUGAGGAAAACUCACUAUGUAUUCAGUGUUGGAAAGGACCGCCUUGUAAAGUAUUGGGAUGCUGAUAAAUUUGAGUUACUUUUAACGCUUGAGGGACAUCAUGCUGAUGUUUGGUGUCUUGCUAUCAGCAACCGUGGUGAUUUCUUAGUCACAGGAUCUCAUGAUCGAUCCAUACGUCGGUGGGAUCGAACUGAAGAACCGUUUUUCAUAGAGGUGCAGUCACUUGUUUCUUCAAGAGUAUCAAAUGAUAUUCUAUCAAUGGACGAUAUUCUAUUAAUGCUGUUAUUUAAUGUUUAAUAUGCUCCUAUAAUAAUUAGAAUAUACAAUAUUCAAUGUUGUGUUGGAUUCUCCUUUUUUCAGGAGGAGAAAGAAAAACGACUGGAAGAAAUGUUUGAGGCCGACCUUGACAAUGCAUUUGAGAACAAGCAUAUGCCCACUGAAGAAGUUCCAGAGGAGGGUGUGGUUGCUUUGGCUGGGAAAAAGACUCAAGAGACUAUUUCGGCUACAGAUUUGAUAAUUGAUGCUCUAGACAUGGCAGAGGCAGAAGCCAAGCGUAUAGCUGAACAUGAGGUCUGGAAACUUUUAACAAGUUUCAUCAGUUUUACUUUGUUCAAGUUUUACGAUUUAAUGUUUUGUACCUUACGGAAGACUGUUAUAAUGUUUUGUAUUUAGGAGGAGAAAAGAAACGGGAAAGCUUCUCAUUUUGAGCCAAAUGCUCUGAUGCUUGGGCUCUCACCAUCUGAUUAUGUUCUCCGUGCCCUCUCAAAUGUUCACACAAAUGACUUGGAGCAAACGUUACUGGUAUGUUGUGAUUUGUGAAUCAAGGAUUCUCAGUUUCAUUCAUGCAAAUUUUAAGGCUUGGUAUAUCGAUGCUGGUUCUCAUGAUAGAAGUGCAUUGCCAUUUUUUGUAAGAUAUCAUUGUUGUCUGGUACUAAAAAUACAGUGGUUAUCUAUAUAUACACAAACCUAUUACGUAUGCAAAAUUUUUGUCCUUAUCCUCUUGCUAAGCUUGACUGUGUAUGUGUCGUAGUAGUUACACAUUUUUUUUAAUUUCUUCUGGUUUCUUUGGCAUGUUAAAUGUUUUUCUAAAAUCGACUAGAAACUGGGGUUCCUUAGCGAGCUUGUACUGUAUAUUGUUUAUCUUCAGGUUGCAAAUUCUAGUUUCAACCUUGAGUUUGGUGUUCAAUACUGAAAGCCUCAUUGCCAUUUUGUUUCUCUACAGGCUUUACCAUUCUCAGAUUCUCUGAAGCUUCUAUCUUACUUGAAAGAUUGGACUUCCAAACCUGACAAGGUAGUCCUAGACUCCUAAUUAAUUUCUGGCUACACAUGUUCUGAUUAUCUAGUUUCUUACAAACAAUAGCUUCAGACCUUCUAGCACAUUCUUCGUGUACUUAAUGUGUUAUCUUUUCGUUCAUUUGAUUGGCAUUUAAUUUGGUAAGUUCAAGUUUAUGGAUUCUAUUCAUUAUGAAAAUAUGUUUUUUUUGGAAUGUUUUAAUAGUUCUUUUACAAGAUCACCCCGGUUGCUUCGUCUAGGGAAUGUAUUAUAAGGAGAAAGAGCAUAAGAUGUUGCAUGAAUGAAGUUAAUAAUACUAGCAGGAUGAAAACAUUCAAUAGGUACUAUUCUAUAAGUGACCUUGAUAUUAAUGAAUGCUUAUUUAUGUGAUAUCUGCAGGUUGAGCUCAUUUGCAGGAUAUCUACAGUUUUACUGCAGACGCACCAUAAUCAGCUUGUUACUACCCCUGCGGCAAGACCUGCAUUAACUAUUUUACGAGACAUUCUUUACGCUAGAAUCAAGGUACUCCUGCGAUUAUUUUAAGUUUUUAUAUGCUUUCUCCCUCUAUUUCUCAUUUGUUUCUUGAUGUGAGCACUUCUUCAUGACAACUAUGAUGUAGACAGGGAGAAUAGUCUGCGAGCCAUUAAAUAGGGAUGGAUAACUGUUAACAACUUUAACCCUAGUAGUUACAAGGUUUAAAUCUGAACUCAAUUAGUCAUCCACUUAGUUGAGGCUGUAAAAACGACUGUAACUGGGCUAAUGAAUAAAGCUCAAAACCGACAGAGAUUUAGAAGAUAGAUUGGUUUGAACUUUAAACCAUAACUUUAAUCAAGAGAAGUAAGUGAAAGAACUAUUCAAGAAUGACACAAGAUGUCCGACAUCAACGUUACUCACUUAUGGUUAAUGACUUCUAACAUUCCACUUCUGCGAGGAUAAACUCACUUUCCGUAAUACGUAUGAAAGUACCGAAAGCCGUGAAGUUGCUAAAAUGAGCUAAUUGUAAGAAGACAAUAAUGAUGAAAUAAAGCUUCGAAGAGGACUUGAAAUGCCCACGACCCAAAUUUUCUCCUUUGAUAUAUUAAAACCAUAAAAUUUAGGUGUUAGAGUUGCGAUUACAAAAAAAUGUGACAAUUCUGAUCCCCAAAUUUCUUCAGUAUUGAAUUACCAUAUGAUUUAGCUUGUUUUUUUCAUUAAAAUUGAAUUAGCAAAAUAUGUGUUUCAUUGACAAUAUGAACAUCUAAUGUCUUAGGAAUGCAAAGACACCAUUGGUUUCAACUUAGCAGCGAUGGAUCAUCUUAAGGUUUGUGUUUCAGUUUCGAAUCCUUUUGCAAUUGAUUUUCAUGAUAGGCAAUUUGAAUAAGUUAUUUUCAUCAUUUCAGCAACUAAUGGCCAUGAGAUCUGAUGCACUAUUCCAAGACGCUAAAUCGAAGUUGCAAGAAAUUCGUUCUCAGAACUCUAAGCGUUUGGAGAUGAGAACAGACACAAGACAAGUGAAGAGGAAGAAGAAGAAUAAGUAAAUCCACUGGCCUCACUUGCUUGGCUUCUACUUGUAUCUUAGGCACUUUGUUUAGAGAGGAUGCAGUUUGACAGGAUGACGUGAAAGUUUGUAGAAUGACACUAUGUAUUUGGAAUCUUCCAAUGGACAGCGUUUUCAAGUUCUUACUCAGAGGCGAAUUCUGCAAGGAGACAUGACAUGGCGGUAUGCAUACUCAUAAUCAACACAAAGUAGGCAUAGGGGGGAGAGUUUGUAAGAUAUCCUUCACAAUUUUGAUUUUACUAUUAAAAGAGCAAGCAAUUCUCUGCAAUUUUGUUCUCCUGCUAUUUAUAUUUACAUAGAAAUGGAGUUGAAGUUGCAUGUAAGUGUGUUCAAGUGGAAUAUUAUUUCUAUACUAUUAGUUUCACUUCCAUUUAUCGUGGGCGAUGACAUUAGCUUUUCUAUACAUCGAUAAUUUGUAGUGAACUCCCAAAUUGUUAUAAGUUCAUGGUACACAAAAAUUGGAUGGAGUUAGUAAACAAAAUCAUCUCCGAGAACUAACCAUUUGGUAUUAGUUAUACUCAAUUUUCUUAGUUAUGUACGAUCUCACUGUUUGAUUGGUCCAUCUUUAUUGGUUUUAGGUAAAUUUUUGGUAUGGAACUGAUAACUGAAGGGAAGGGAAAAAUGAUGUGAGAAAUGGGACAGAGAUGAAGGAUUGAAAAUAGUGUAUCCUAUAUUUUAUUACUGGAAUUUGUGUGGUAGAAAUCAACCCUAAAAUUUGAAUACAAUUUUAAGUUUUGCUAUGAUUUCUGAAUAAUUGUGAUCAAUCAAUUCUUAGACUUUCUCGACAACUCUUCUAAAAUGCUUGAAUAAUACAAUCAUGUUUGUUCUUGAAAAAAAUGGUAAUUUUCACAAAACAAUCAAGUAUGUUACUGUUUGCUUGUUGAACGAGACCUCCCUCUAAAAAAUUUGAAUCUAGUUUCAAUUAUUUGGGAAUACUAAGUUUGUGUAACACUAAUCUUUUAUAGUCACGAUUUAUUUUAAGAUUAUACCAUAAGUUGAGUCAUUUGAGUCAUUUCAGUUCAAUAAUGGAGAAAGCAGAAUUGAAACUAUCCACAAGCUUUUACAAACAUUUUCCUUCAUUUUUGUUCACAUCUAUUAAUUUCUUAAAAGACGAUAUUACUUUAAUAAAUAAUGGUAAAAAGAGUGGAGAAGAGAACUAUAGGUAGAAAUCGUGGACCAGAUCCAUAAUUUUCACUAACAUGAUGUCAUGACUUACCUAUUGCCUUUGAAGUGCCAUGCCAUCUAUAAAUUCCCAAAGGGUUGCCAAAUCAAAGAGUGGAAAUGAUUGCCAUAUUUAUCAUUUAGUUAUGUUCUAAUAAAUUUGCUGCUGGUCCUAGUUUUGUCAUUUCUUUAAACUACAUUAUUUUUAAAAUUAACCCACCAUGAUUCUCUUUAGGUAAAAUUUGAAUUUUUGUUCAAAAUCUAUAGGAAAAAAAGUUUAUAGAAAAAUUUAUUUAUUUUAUUUUUUAUGUGAAGGUAACAAAGGAUAAAGUUCAAUUAUUAGAAAUAAAAAAUAGUAGAGCAUAUUAAACAUCUGCUUUUAAACUAGCGCACAAUUUAAUGACAACACUUUCUUCAAAAUGAUCGCAUUUCAUCUCCCUCUAUUCAACAAUUCUUCGACAUCUUAUCUAUCCAUUCUCUUGGCAAAUAUUAUUGGAUAGAAUACACAAAAACUGAUACAGAACAAAAGUUUCGCUCUUCUUUAUUGAAACAUGAAGAUAAACCACCUACUAGCACGUGGAAAUGAGUUGAGACCAGCAGGCAAAGGGAUUGAACGAAAAUAAAAUCCUAAGCCUACAAAAAGAUUUCACUAGAGGAAGGAAUUGAGAUCUGUACCGCAAAGGGGGUUGGGCCAAAAUCAGACCCUUUGGUCCAAAUCCUUUUGAAAACAUCUCCACCUACACACCUGAAUUUCUAAUAUAUGGUGGUGUGGUGUAUAAGUUGAUCCUUAGUACUUAUGCAUAAGUUCCUUGUAGGCGUCCGGAUGCUCCGAGUAGUAUUUCACUUCCGCCUGCAAAUGACGAAUAGUUUCACGCAUUAUAGUUUGUGAUGUCAUGGAGAUUUCUCCAAAGGCCUAUUUGGAUUGAUUUUGAAGCGCUUAGAAAAUGUUUUUGAAUGAUACGUAAUGUUUUGAAGCACUUGCAAUAUUUAAAAUAAAUAAAAAAUUCAAAGAGGCCCUUUUCAUGUUAUAUGCUCACUGAAAUUUAACUAUUCUUAUUGAACUAAGUGAAAAUUACGUUAUCUAUAUAUCUUUAACAGUCUAGUUACGAAGAAACUGAAUGUUGAGAUAACGAAACAGACAUGUAAUUACAGCUGAAGGACAUUUCAUUCCAACUUCACUGACAAAUUAAACAUAUUCGAGUACUGUAGACGACUUAAGUUGACUAUUGAAAGUGGUUAGGUGGAUGCUUGUCUAAGAAUCAAGCAACAAGUUGAAAAGUAAACAACUGGGUCCACAUAUAAGAGGAACUAUAAAGACCAAAGGAAUGUAGUCUGUGUGAAUAAAUGCUAAAUUGGGUAAAAACCAUUAGAUUACCGCAAAAUUUCAGUAUCUUCUAAUGGAUAUCUAGAAGCCUAAGCCUUUGCUUACAUGAAAAAACAUUUAAUUAAAGGUAAUGAAAUUAAAGAGGGUGCAAGGAGACACAAAAAUCUCCCUCCAACGGCACAUUGGUAAGAUUUGAAAGGGAUAACUAGUAGUAACAGAACUUCAACUUGAGACAGAGGAGGCUCAAAAUAAAAUCGGAGUCCACAUGUAGUUGCUAGAGCUCUCUUUAACACUGAAAUACCCUAUUUCAGUUUAGAUAAGUAAGGCAAAAGAGAUAAGUAAUAAAGUAGUUUGUCUCCAAAGCAAAAGAGAACUCCAUAAGCCUUCUAUAAAAAAAAAACUUAUUUUGCACAUGGCUGCAAAACACUUGCUCAGCGUACUUACAAGCUGAUUAUUGGAUGAGGAAGGUUGAAACGAAGAUGUUUAGCAAGUUAUUCCAAAGCAUGGAAGGAAAAACAACAGGAAGAGGAAGCUUGGCAUCUCUCUACUAGUUUUGCAAAGAAAACAACAAUUUAAGUUGAGGUAGGAGUUUAUUUCUUUUCAGAAUUCUGUCACUGAGGUAGAUUUCUUUGGUAAGAGCUGAAGAAACAACCGUGAAGAUGUCAAAGUGAUCCAGAAACCAAGUUCCGGUGACAUUGCCAAAUGAUAAAUGCACUCUUCAAUAAGAUCCAGGAAAUGGAAGUCACCUCUAACCAAAAAAAAAAAAAAAAAAAAAACACUACUGAAACCAAUUGUCUAGCUCAAGAGGAGACAUGCCUUCUUAAGUUCGCAAAUUCCCACAAAAGUUUUGGUAUGACCACACAUGAAGAUCCUAAAUCACUAGUCUGUUUUGGUACGACCUCACUUGAGCAUCUUACAUCAUUAGUAGGUAGAGAGGACUCUACAGAGACAAUUUUGAAGUUUUAGUAUACGUUGAACUCCUGGAAGAACCUUGUAAAGGAAAGCGGUGGUAGAGGGGCAUGAAUCAAAAUAUAUCUAAAUGGUGAGGCCUAUAUGGUUAUGAUUAUAAGUAAGGCCUAAAGCAUGUAGAACUGAUCAAAAGAAUCAAAAUACAUUUAAAUGGUGAGGCAAUACAAGUGAAAAGAACUACAAGCCAUGACAAUUACCAUGAGAUAAGCCAUGAAAGUCAAAUUGCAUGCAUACCUUGCGAAUGGCCUUUAUGGCAACCACCAACUUUUCACCUAUAAGAUCUGCCAAGAUAUUGUCCUUUUCCAGAGCUUCUACAGAUUCAGAAAGUGAUUGUGGCAACCUUUGGAACUUUGAACCAAGGCUAGAUGGAUUUGUAUCUGUUUAUGAUCCAGGUUAUUAGAGUACAAGAUAGAACAUUUUGGAGUACUUUGCAUACACAUAAAAAAACAUCAUGUGAAUCCAAAGAGAAAACGCAACCACAUAAGCAUGUUAAAGGUAUUAAAAAAAGGUGCAAUGGCUAGAUUGAAAAUGUUCCUCGUCAACAAGAAAUAUUGCACUACAUAACAUUCAAUAACCUACAAUUCUAUUAAAGCAAACUGCUCUCCACGUGUAGUUCCUAGAUGGUUAAAGUUAAACUACUUAUUUAAUAAACGUAUUAAUAGUUUCUACCAAGUGAACUACAUCUCUUCCUCAAUUUGUAUACUAAGGUAAACAUAUGGAGACCUUACCUAUAUUCUCCUAUAAGAACAUAGGGUAGCUUAACAAGUUUCCAUUCCUAGUACUUCCAUUAUUAUUACUUUUUCUAAUAAGGCACCAACUUUUCAUUAAGAUUAACUAAAUGAAAUGAGUAUUGCACAAAAAUGCAAAGUCCAAAAGGAGAAAAAGGUCCAUCUCCACUAUAUCAUAAUAUUUAAUCCCGUUUCCAUAAUUUUUUUUCAAUGGCUAAUGGCACUAUGAAAAGUUGAAAACUUUGUCCCCUACUCCAUCCAGUUGUAUUAGAAGAGUAAAAGUUGGGAGACACCAGGGUUCGAACUCACUCAUUGAUGGAUAAAAAAUGAAUGUCUUCACCACUGUAUUCCUAAGGAGUACUUCUCCAUCUAGCUGUACUAUAAGGUAUCAGGCAAGUUUUGUAAAACGGGGCAGAAAGUACCAUCCAUCAUUAAAUGGGUUCAAGGCAUCAAAGUUCUAUGUUUCUACAUAUUCAACAUAAUUCAAUUUACUCAACUGAAAAAAGAAUCAAUAAAGUUAGACCUAAAAGUUGGUAUAAAUUUCAUGUUUCAACAUAUUCAUAGCACACUGUUUCAUGCAGUGCAGGCUUAUAUCACAAGAAUCAACAUGAAAAGGAAUUAAAAUUGCAGCCUUGCAGGCCUUAAAGUUGAGAGCUUAUGUUUUGAGUUUUGAUGACAUAAUAAAUGACUAAAUCAAACAAGGCUUAAAUUGACUGAUUAGAUCUCCCGUUUUAAAAAAUGGCAACCAUAUCAUUAUAUAUAUAUAUAUAUAAAUCUCAAACUUUUGCUUUCGGUUCUGUUUUUUUUUUACCGCAAGAAAGAGGGAGGUAAACAUCAAUGUGUAUUGACACAUAUCAUUAACUAAACCAUUGGAUGUGAAAAAGUUUUUAGGCAAGAAUAACUUAUCAUUUUGAUUAGUUGUGCCAUUAAUAUAAAGUCUAAAUUAUAAAAAUAGUAGUACUCUAGAUAGUUUAUUGAAACCAGGACACUUACCAGCAGGUUCAGGCAACUGAAGAUUGUUCCGAAGGCCAUCUAUUCCGGCAGAAACAAUAGCAGCCAUACCCAAGUGUGGAUUUGCACAACCAUCAAAACAUUUGAUCUCAAAGUUACUCACAAAACCAUCCGAAAUCCCAGGUGGACAAGCCGUUCUAAGUGGAGAUUCUCUGUUUUCUUUUCCCCAACAUUGAAAGGCUCCGCUCCACAUAUUGGGUUGUAAACGAUCAUAACUACAAGCAAACAAAGUUGCCGAAUUGGCAGGGAAGUGACAGAAGUUAUUAAGUAGCCACAUUACCUUAGAUGGAAGCAACCAUUAUAUUAUUGAAAAGUUGAUCCAUUAAGAUGGAAGAUUUCAUCAAUUUUACAGCAGAAACCAUGCAUGAUUGAGAGUCAAGAGAGCAUGGAAUUGAUAAUUUGAAAAAUAAAACACAUGAUUUUGAGGAGAUAAUCAAAUAAUGAAACAAAUAAUCAACCAGCCAACAAAUAGGACAUGCAUACAAAGAAGACAUGUCAUGAGCAUAAAUGUUAUGGGAACACAAGGACUUUUUCCAAGUGGUCACCCAACUUAGUUAACGUUAUUUGGUGACCAUAGCUACUUGUUAGGUCAAAUGCAAUGCCAAACAUUGUUGUGUUGUGGAAGCUACCAUGGCAAAAAUUGGCAACUGGCUAUUAUUGUAUAAUUGUGGGAUUUGGUGUUGUUCACCUGUUUGGAACUGGAGCUGUAAAUGCCAAAAUUGAUGAGAUAUGGUGUAAAACCCCUGCCAUGAACUUUUCCCCAAUAGCUGACAUUCCAUGUUUAGAAGAUCCAUCAGACGCCAUGAAAACAUUUUUACCAUUCUGCCACAAGCUGACAUGCACAUGGGAUCCAGAACCAAUAUCAUCCAGAUCGUACCUAAGCAAUAUUAAGAAAUCACGAUGUUAUUCAUUUUAGAUUACUGGGUUUCUAAACACUACAAAUCCAAGACAAAACAAUUUUACGGCCGCACCAUAUUUUCCAUCGCUGUACCAAUCAUAUUAGUUUUGUAUUCAUAGUCCCUCCCAUUGUGAAUUGUUUGAGGUGUUUGAGUUUUUUUCCCUAAAAGUCCCAUGGGAUCUUGUCUCCCUCUCAUAAGUUUUUACAAAUUCUUUGGAUCCUUCGUGUCGGUUUUUCUGGUUUGUUAUUUCUCAGUGUUUGGUCUGGUUUCUUUUGAUUGGUACGUCUCUAAAUUUCUUGUCUCGUGGGACUCUAACUUUGUUGAAGGUUUUCUUCUUUUUGGAUUGUGUUUGUCUCCUUUUUUUCUCUUCUAUUAAGUGAUCACGUAUGUUGGUGUAGUAGUCUCUUUUCAUUAUAUCAAUGAAAUUUAUGUUUCUGUUUCAAUUUUUUUUGACAUUGAUGAAAGAUCAGUGAGUCCAUGCUAACUAGUGACUAAAACUAGCAUAGCUAGAAAAGUUAACGAGUCUAGGCCAUUAUUUUUUCAACAUCAACACUAUGUCACUAAUGAUCUUGAGCAAGUUUACAAAAAGGUGCCUUUGGGCUCUCUUUCCCAAAUGGGGUGCUGUUUGUGUAGAGCUGGCGAUAAGUCCCAAAGGCACAUCUUCAUUCACUGCCCCUUCUCUUACUUCCAUUAUUUUUCAUCCAAAUUGAAUUAACAGUCUGGUUACCAUCAUAGCCAAGAGAGUCUCUUAGGCAUUAUUGUAUCAACUCAUUUACUAUUUCUCAAGCCUCAACAAGGAACUAGUUUUCUAAUAGGAGUCCCAAGUUAAAGUUGUUAGCCAAAACAACAUCCUCUCAAACAUUAGAGAAAACUAAAACAAGUGGAAAGUUGUUGCUCUCGUUCUAGCCAAGUGCCCAAUUACUUUAUUGAAUACUAAAACAUACUUGGGAAUAAACGUUGCCAAUAGUCCAUGCUUCCUUGCAGUAGCCCUAAUAACUUCCCGUGUGUAAACUAAGUUGUCAGCAGCAUUGAGACAAACAGUAUGCCCUAAAGAAAUCUCAAAUUGGCCUUUCCCAGCUUCCGCGUGCACCUACAAGAGUAGAAACAAACAAACAACCAACAAAAUCGAAGUCUUGGUCAACUUAAAGAGAAACAACCAAUCUUGACUCUAGGAAGACUGAGAGAAAGGACAACAUAUAUGACUAGAUACUUGAUGUGGUAAUGAUCUGUUUUAGGUAUCUAUGGUGUAUAACUUACUCUAGUUAGCAAAUAAAUAAGAAUGGUGCAUAGAAUUAGAGGCAUUACAAAUAAAUGGCAUAUAACCUAUGCAAUAAGUAUAAUUUUCUGUGUUUUGUACAUAGGAUUUAAUUGAAAUAGGUCAAGGGUGGACAUAGCCUAGAAUACAUUAAAAGCACACCUAAUUAUCUACAUACCAUAAAGUUUAGAUCUCAAUGGCAUAGUGUUCCAUUAGCUUAAUUGAUGAGUCCCCCAACACAAAUAUAACAGUAAAUAAUCUACACACUAUAGGUAUGUAAUUGAAGGGUCAAUUUCCUCCAAAGCUUGGAACUUCACAGUUUCACAUUAGACAUCAUUAACUGUAUAUAAGUGAAGGGAAAAAGGAAAGUGGCUGGGAAAGUGGUACAGAAACAAAAUUGUAAACACUAGUUCAGAUGCUAACAUCUAUACAUCUAAAAAAUGUUAUAAGUUAUCAUCCCCACCUACUUCAAUCCAAGUGAGAACUACAUCCUCCAUCCAUAUAUGACAUGAAGUUGCUAACCCACAAAAGUAAUUGACAUGUGUCACUUGAACAAAUAUUAGGGAACCUGACUU